This 47608-nucleotide long non-coding RNA is filed under the name Ananas comosus (pineapple). RNAcentral describes it as "long non-coding RNA (ACOM_LNC006474)". Lineage: Eukaryota; Viridiplantae; Streptophyta; Magnoliopsida; Poales; Bromeliaceae. The record is from RNAcentral.
CUAACUAAUUCAUCGCUUGCCCGGGAGACCCGCGCAUUACUCAAAAUAUAUAUUUUUUUAGAGAAAGAUAGCAUACUACCGACUUCGUUUAUUUCAUUUAGAAAUAAACUUAGCUGAAAAUGUGAAUCAACUAGGAUUCGAACUUGGGUCUCGAAUACCAACCACGAAACCCUUUUGUCACUUACGCUAGGACGGUUGAUGCAUUACUCAAAAUGUUAUAAAUAUUACCUUGGACCUAGCAUCGUGAAUAAUGCUUCCAUUAUUUACGCAUGCCCUACGUGACAAAUAUCGUAGCUAGCUUAACAUUGAAUUUUGUUUGUGGAAAAAAUCUAUAUCCUAGCCUAAGUUUGACUAAACAUGCAUGCCAAUUGGUCCCUGAAUUGUGGGAAAUCAAUUCAUUUAUAGCGUUCAUCUCCCCCCACCACACUUCUAAAGUUAAUUACUGACGUAGAACGUGUAAUAACUUUGCAACGUACAAGAUCCUAUCAUUUGAUAGCGAGACACAUCGUGUGUAAACUGUAAACCACUUUGGUUCUCCCUCUCGUUGAUGCAAUUCAUUUUACCCUCUCCACAAGUUACUUAAUUUACGGCCAGUUGUAGCUUUCUCUCUCUCUCUCAACCGUGAUGUGUAUAUAUGACAAGAGAAUAUUAUAAAGAAGAAAAAUAAAAUAUCAUGUAAAAAUCUAUAUCAACUAUUUAAUGUUGUAUGAGUAAUUAAUUACAAUCGUGUUGCAUACUUAUCAGCGCGACCACAUCCCAGACUUAUGGACAUGGUCCACAUGGACUUCCGUUUGGGUCACCCUCAACGUCACAUGCUUCUCUUCGAAUAUUCUUUAAUUUGGGUCCACCUGUUUAAUAAAGAGCACCAUGUGUACACAGAUAACACAUCUAAACUAGUUAGGGCUACGAAUAAAGCCACAUUUUUUUAAUAUUAAAGUAUAUAACAAAAGGCUCGGAAUUUUCGCUAGACCUAAAAUUAGGAGUUUAAAUAAAACUCUAUUUAUACUAUAAAAAAGAACUAUUUAAACAAGAAAAAACUUCAAAUACUGCUCUUAUGGUUUCGCAUUUUUUAUUUUAGUAUGUACCAUAUGGUUUAAAGUGUAUCAAUUUAGUACCAUAUAGUUUUAUUUUUCUCUUUUUAUCAUUCCAUCCACUAAUUUUUUUCAUUAAAUUACUGACAAAGUUAAAACUAAAAACGUACUAAAGUGAAUAUUCGAUAAAUCUAGCUAGGUGGGAUAUCUGAAGUUUUUUAUAUAAUAAUUUAACGAAAUGUCAACGGAGGAGCCGACGAAAAGAGAAAUGGAGGAGCUGAGAAAAAGAGAAAAAUAAAAUUACUGGAUACUAAGUUGAUACAUUUUAAACCACAGAAUAUUAAAAUAAAAAAAAUAUGAAACUAUAGGGAUGGGAUUUGAAGUUUGCCCUUUAAAAAAUGAGCAUUCAUUGUUCGGUGUUGUAAUUCUACACCCCUCUAUGAAAGCUUAUUUUUUUUCCCUAUAUAUAAGUCUUAUUAUUAUUAUUAUUAUUUAACUAAAAAUAAAAAGUGAUUAGUAAAUUAAUAUUAUAAUUCUUGGAUAAAUAGGUUAUGAAGAUUAUGAUCUUUUCUUACUAUAAAUUAAGUAUUUCUCUAAGAAAUAGUGCGACGUAUCUCCUAACAUGCGUGCUUCAACCAACAUGUGCGCAUUUUUAUUAGCCAAUAAAUGCAAUAUUUGUAUGUAUAAAGGUACUUGCGUUGUAAUAUUUCUCUGGCAAAAGGCGUUGCACGCACGAUCUAUCACGUGCACGCUAGUCCGAGCCAUGCAAUAUGCGAGUUCGCGUCCUCCGAUGGUGCGUCCUAAAUAUAAUCAUCGAUAAUCAAUAAUCAAUAAUCAAUAACUACUAUUAAUUAAUUAAUUAAUUAGAGGGACCAAAUAAAAGCCGCGGAUUAUUAAUACUUUGACUACAAUAGUCAAUAUGAAUCAUGUAAACUAUACCCUCGUGAUUCUCGUGAUUCAUGUAACAUUUUUUGUUAUUUAUUUGUAUAUAUUAUUCGGUCCAAUUAUUCCUUAACUAUUUGCUUUUGAUUUAGUAUUUUAAACUUUUGUUGAAAAAUCAGCCAAACUCUAAUGGUUGAUGAAAAAGUUGGUUUAUGACAUGAGUUAGGCACAUAUGAUUAUUAGUUAGGCGUGUAAGCGAACAUGAAGACAUUGAAUCAUAUAUACAUCUUGCCUCUUUAAUUAUAUAUUUUAAUAAGUAAAAAAGGGAUUAAUGAAAUGUUAUUUACUUACUGUACCAUAUUCCACACAUAUUCUCUUUAACAUUUUCUUUAUUGCUUAUGGUAUAUAAUUAAACCAUAUAUGUCAUAUCUUAGCUUAUUUAAUUGUAUUUAUAGUCAGGAAAACCUAUAUACUAUUUUGCCUAGUCAACAGAUCAUGAUCAGAUCUCAUACUUAUAUAUAAAAAAAAAGUUAAUGAUUGCACUUCUUUGGAGAAUUCAUAUAACAAAUAGAAAAUUUUGAACCUAUAAAAUAUUAUUCAACUUCCUUACCCAAAUACGUUUUUAGACGCUAAAAGAGCGUGCAACCUAAGCAUCGCAUAUUCUCUGUCACAUCUCUCAUUAAUUUAUAUAUAUAAUAAAACUAUAUAUAUAUAUAUAUAUNUAUCCGGAGUUGCGGCAGGUGCAGCAGCAGGAGGUGGUGCCGCAUGCCUAUUUACGAGGAGUGGAGAUAAUGCCUUGACCACGAUGCUCAUAUUGGGCCGGAACUCGGCUUCGUAUUGAACACAGAGAGCUGCCACUGCAGCAAGCUGCACAGAACAAAAUAUGAGAUAUAUGUGCCUCUAUUUUUGUUUUGAGAGAGAGAGAGAGAGCGAGAAUGGUAGCAUGCAUGAUAUCGCUUCUUUUAUUUUAUUUUUAAAAAAAAACUUAACUAAAAAUAUGAAACAACUAGGUUUCGAAUUUAGGACCCCGAAUAUUGACCAUCAAAUCCUUAAUUUGCCAUUUGCACUGAGAACGAUUAAUUAGUGAAUAUUGUAUAUAUAAUUGUCAAUGCAUAAAUCCACAUAUUUUUAAAUAGAAGAGCCAACAUCAAAAUAGGUGAGAUAUAUUAAAUUUGGUCUAGUGUACUAAAUAAAUACUUAAUAUAUUUGUUCCGAGAAUAAUAAUAAUAAAUGCUCCAGUCCAUGAAGAUAUUAUGGUAUUUUAACUAAAAGUUAUUAGGCAACGAAUUUAAUCAGUGAAAUUAUUGCACGUUUAAUGAGGAUUAUUAGAUAAACCAUCAAUAUAUUGAGAGAAAAUAUUAUGUUGAUGGUAUAAAUAUAAGGCUCAUGUCUCACGUGAAAGAGCAUCGAUCGUGGCCGUACGCGGAGCCUUAGCUUGACGUGGCAUGCUUAGAUAUUGACAGCUAGCAAACAUGAACCACGCUGUUUGACCUUAAUCACAAGUUUCUUUUUCACAAAAAUAAAUACAAAAUGUAUAUUAAAAAAAGCAUAACUACCACAAUGCAUAUUUCAGUUUCCUGCAUCAUUGAUAGAAAAUUUUGGUCAUUUCACACAACCCUUCGUUCAAAACGUUUCACCCACCACAUCCGUACGGACCGAUAAUUAAUUCCCCGGUUUCUAAGUUUCUUUUAUUUCUUUUUGUCAAAAAAAGAAAUUAAUUGCACCUAUAUAGAUAUAUGUAUACAUUCAAAAUGUCUGAUUUUUAAAAUUUUUUAUAAGUUGAAGUUUCAUCAUUCGACUUGUAGUUCCGAACAGAAAAUUUUGAACUAUACGUGGCUACUAUAAUUUUUUAAAACUAUUAUCCUUUUUAAUUUCGUACAGAUCGAUUAAUUGCAUUAAUCCAAUAUUUAGGGACGAAUAAGAUCUGCUUAACUAUUAAUUAUAAGUUUAACUAGGAUUCCAAUCUAGAAUUUAAUUCGGGGCACAUCUAGCUGUUUGGAGGUUGGGGGAUUCUGAUUCCAAUCCUACAGUUAACAAAAUAUCGCUUGAAGCUAAAUAUAAUAUUUUUUGUUGGUGUUAAUAAAUAUUAAAUGGGUUUCCCAUCGUUGUACCCUAAACAAUGGAUACUCGCAAUCCACGCGGUCAUUUUUAUUUUAUCAAUCUAAUAGUUACCAUGAGCGCAUUUGUCAAACUUAGGCAAUCUCUUUCUCAGGUGACCCCACACCACAAUUCCCACGCCAUUGAUUAGUUGCUUUUAAGUUGCUCUAUAAAAAGGGCUAGAUCCCUUGGCUCUCCAUGGUCUCUCAAUAUACGAGUAUCUCGCUACUUUAAUUCCUUGGUUCGAUCUGGUUGAGCUCCUUGGACUGGUUUUUUACUGCUCGAGCCGGUUUCGCCAAGUUUGNAAUAUAUUGAGAGAAAAUAUUAUGUUUUUUUUUUUUUUUUGAGAAAAGGUAGCAAAGCUAUCUGCUUCAUCCAUUAGGAGAGAAAAUAUUAUGUUGAUGGUAUAAAUAUAAGGCUCAUGUCUCACGUGAAAGAGCAUCGAUCGUGGCCGUACGCGGAGCCUUAGCUUGACGUGGCAUGCUUAGAUAUUGACAGCUAGCAAACAUGAAUCACGCUGUUUGACCUUAAUCACAACUUUCUUUUUUCACAAAAACAAAUACAAAAUGUAUAUUAAAAAAAGCAUAACUACCACAUGCAUAUUUCAGUUUCCUGCAUCAUUGAUAGAAAAUUUUGGUCAUUUCACACAACCCUUCGUUCAAAACGUUUCACCCACCGCACGCGUACGGACCGAUAAUUAAUUCCCCGGUUUCUAAGUUUCUUUUAUUUCUUUUUGUCAAAAAAAGAAAUUAAUUAAUUGCACCUAUAUAGAUAUAUGUAUACAUUCAAAAUGUCGAUUUUUAAAAUUUUUUAUAAGUUGAAGUUUCAUCAUUCGACUUGUAGUUCCGAACAGAAAAUUUUGAACUAUAUGUGGCUACUAUAAUUUUUUAAAAAUUAUAAUCCUUUUUAAUUUCGUACAAAUUAAUUGCAUUAAUCCAAUAUUUAGGGACGAAUAAGAUCUGCUUAACUAUUAAUUAUAAGUUUAACUAGGAUUCCAAUCUAGAAUUUAAUUUGGGCAUAUCUAGCUGUUUGGUGGUUGGGGGAUUCUGAUUCCAAUCCUACAUUUCUGAUUCCAAUCCUACAGUUACAAAAUAUCGCCUACAUUGAAGCUAAAUAUAUUAUUUUUUAUUGGUGUUAAUUAAUAAAUAUUAAAUGGGGUUCCCAUCGUUGUAGCCUAAACAAUGGAUACUCGCAAUCCACGCGUCAUUUUUUAUUUUAUCAAUCUAAUAGUUACCAUGCGCGCAUUUGUCAAACUUAGGCAAUCUCUUUCUCAGGUGACCCCACACCACAAUUCCCACGCCAUUGAUUAGUUGCUUUUAAGUUACUCUAUAAAAACGGGCUAGAUCCCUUGGCUCUCCAUGGUCUCUCCAUAUACGAGUAUCUCGCUACUUUAAUUCCUUGGUUCGAUCUGGUUGAGCUCCUUGGACUGGUUUUUUACUGCUCGAGCCGGUUUCGCCAAGUUUGCUGCGUCAAAGGUAAGGAAAAAAGUGAUUCUGCUUUUCAUUGGCUAUUUUCUUAUAUUUUUUUGUAUUUAAAAGAAUAAAUUAGACUAUAUAUGUAAUUGUAUUACUCUCAUUAAUUUAAACAAAGCUAUAUGUAAUUAAUUGAAUAUGUGUUUGAAUACAUAUUUUAGAUUUUAUAUAAUUGAGUAUUGUUCCUGUUUACCCUCAAGAGCNGUGUGUGUGUGUGUGUGUGUGUGUGUUAUAUUAUUAAAUUAUAAUUUAAAGUAAAAAAAUUAAAACAAAAGGUAGUGCACCAUGUGCACCCAAAAAAAUCCCCUGCUCCCUGGUGCCACGCGGCGCCCAUAGGGGGCAUCCCCAAAUUGUUUUUUAUGGACAUAUUGUUCAUAUACAAUUUUUGCCCGCUAGUGGGGGCGGCUGGGAGCGAGGGAGGUUGGAAUUAAUUAGCUUUUAUUAUGAUAUCUACGUAUUCAUCUCAUUUGAUUUCAUUCUCAUGGCAUAGAAUUUGUUAUUAAGAAAAUUAUUAUUUGUCGUAGUUAAUUUUUUGAAAUAAAAAUUUUUUAGAUAUAUAUAAAAACUAUGAGAUAUGAUCUAUUAAGUUAAAAUAUUGAUUGAUAGGUUAACAUAUUUAAUUCUAAUAACUUUUUUCUUUAUCAUUGAUUGGGAUUAUGGAAUUUCACAAUUAUAAUCUUUUACAAAUAAAUAUUUAAAGCUGGUCGGGUCGUAGAUGAGUUCCGAUUUGAAGUUUAUAUUUUUUUUCAAUUUGAAGUUUUCUACAUUUGAAAAAGUAUAGGCUGAAUCGUAUCUGACGUGGUGCACCUGUCUAGGUCUAGGUCUUAUUCGUUGUCACNAACGGUCCAUUCACUAGUCUAGAUUGAACGGUUCUGAUUCACGCGAAGCCACUUCAUCACGUAACCGCGUUUUGCGCGCGGGCCGUUUCCAUGCAAACCACGCAGAUUUGGCCACGCCACCAAUCCCCAAAUGGGUGGGGCCCACCAGUCGGCAGAGUGGGGCCCCACCGAGAGCACGUGCUACUGUCCUGUGGAUGGGCGCCACGCGACGUGGCAGCUCAGUCGGUAUGGUCUUAGUCUCAAUUAUUUGAGUGCCACGCGAGCAUCGAGGCGGACUCGUAAUAUUACCGUCCUUUCAUUUCCGUCGCUUCGCGUAAAUAUUCUAUAGGCGCGGCGCUAGUGGGGGCGGCUGGGAGCGAGGGAGGUUGGAAACUUGGAAUUAAUUGGCUUAACUGCUACUCCGCCCGCAAGCGAUUUACGUCCACGUCACCCGUGAACCACCCAACCUUUCUCACCCCAACUCUUUUUGUAGGAAAACACACAACACCGUAAACUUCUUAGAUCAUUAUUGAAUUUCAGGAUUAGUUUUUAUUAUGAAAUCUACAUAUUCAUCUUAUUUGAUUCCAUUCUCAUGGCUUAGAAUUUGUUAUUAAGAAAAUUAUUAUUUGUCGUAGUUAAUUUUUUAAAAUAAAAAUUUUUUAGAUAUAUAUAAAAACUAUGAGAUAUGAUCUAUUAGUUAAAAUAUUGAUUGAUAAGUUAACACAUUUAAUUUUAAUAACUUUUUUCUCUAUCAUUGAUUGGGAUUAUGGGGUUUCACAAUUAUAAUCUUUUACAAAUAACUACUUAAAGCUGGUCCGUUCGUAGAUGAGUUCCGAUUUGAGGUCCAUAUUAUUUUCAAUUUGAAGUUUUCUACAUUUGAAAAAGUAUAGGCUGAAUCGUAUCUGACGUGGUGCACCUGUCUAGGUCUAGGUCUUAUUCGUUGUCACUUAGUGUCCCUUAUGUGACGUUGUUUCCUGUGCCAUACCAGUGGAGGGUAUAUAUGAACCGUCGAAUUCACGAGCAACAACCCAAUAGUAGCGGGAGUAGAUACGUUGGAAUCUGAUGGUACCCUCUUAUUAUAAAAUACAAUAAUAAUAACAACAUACUCAUGCAUAUAUAAUAAUAAUAACAAUAUACGUUGGAGUCUGAUUUACUUUGUUAAUUUAAUUAACAUUUGAUCUACCUCCUCAAAGAAACCAAAAGAAAAAACACCAUUAGUUCUAUAGAUUAAUUAGUCCUUCAAUUAUAUGGACCCUCUGUGGCUUAGCCGUGAUUACACUACGUUACCACGCACGUUUGCGUUUCGUAUAAUUGGACAUACUUGGUGUAUGGAAAUGCAAAUCCAAUAAUUCCAAGGACUUGGAAUUCUUUUUCUUUUUCCCUUCUCUUUCUGAUACUACUAUUUUGUGAGAUUUUAGUUGGUUUAGAAAGAAGUGAUGUGGUUGGUCCAAAAUUGUCUGGUAGAUAUAUGGCGAAUUCUUUAAGCCCCAAGUUUUUCCAAUCAUAUUUUAUUUUGAUUUAUGCAGGAAUUAAGUUAAAAUUAUUUUUAAUUUCAUUAAAAAUAUUUAUAGUCUUGUUAUUAUUUAGCCAUUAGCAUAAAUAUAUCUUUUAUUCUAUGAAUUGGUACAGCGAAAAAGAGAGACCGUGCAUCACAUUUUGAGUGUUUUGAUUUUUUUUUAUUUUUUUUGAGAAAGAUACCCUUUUAUACUAUUUUUUUACGGUAAUAUAUAAAAAUCUUGCUCUUUGUUUGUUUAUAUAUCAACGUACAUCAAUGGCUGAAUCAUGCAGAGUAUUUGUAUGUUUUAUUUUUUUUCUCUGUUUCUUAAUUCACCUUUAGAUUUUCGCAUCCAAUGAAAUAAAUUUUUUUAGCUUUUGUCAUAACUUGGUUAAUAUCACAUGAAUUCUAAUAGAAUUUGGUGAAAAUUUAUUUUAUGUACUUAAUUAAAUGUGAUAAAGGCGUUUCUCUCGUGACUUGUCUAAUUCUAGCCCGCAUAAUUCAACCUAAAAGUGCAUUCAUUUAUAGACUAUAUAUUUUGCUUGCUUCUUCCCCACCAAUUUUCUUUUUUAAACAUAUUAUUUUGUCUCCGAGGAAAAGUCCAACCUCUUCUUAUCCUUGGAAUUAUGGAGAAAUAUAUGGUUCAUGUCAAAUUUUUUACCUUAGCUAAUUAGUACCCACCACUUGUUUUUAUAAUAACGAAUAUUUUUCCUUUUCAGUUAAUCAACAUCAGGACUUCUCUUCUGCCACGUAAAUACCCAACUGCAUGUGAUUCCUUUGACUUUGUUUAUUUUGUUUUAUGGAAAAUUGAAAUGCAACAAAUUUACCAGCGUUACUUCUUGUGUUUUACUAGCUAUUUUUCUAAUAUUGCAAUGCUCUGUGACCAUUCACGAGAGAAGAGAAAUUAGUGGCCGUAUAACCUAGCUCCAAUUAAUAUAUGCCUUUUUUGGCAUAUAUCCUCGAGAAUAAGUUGUCAUCAUUUAUCCAUUAUAUAUAUAUAUACACGUAUAAUUUAUGAUAUAAACGGAAACUAGGCAAGCUUUAUAUUUAAAUGAGAAUUAAGUCAUUUUCAGAAAUUUAAAAAAAAACGUGUUUGAGUUGUUAAAAUAAAACAGUAGAAACAAGUGUAGUUAUAAAUUUAAAAUACUUUACCUAGUUAAUUAAUAUCAAAAUAUGAAUUGAAUAAAAUUUUAAUAAGUUAAUUAAUUAAUUAUGCAAAACAACUUAAUGGGGGUGGAACAAUUGUUUCCACCCCUUAAUGUCCAAGAAAAAUCCAUUAAGGAGGGAACAAGAGUUUCACCCUUUUGUCUGGAUAUAUAUAAAAGAAUAAAGGCUUAUUUUCUCACUUAUAUCCAAACCAAACAGGCUUUCGUAAAUUAAGAUGUUUUUCUUUAUCUUCACUAUGUAAAAAGAGAAAAUUCACGGUGUAGGUCAAAUAAUCUCUAAAUCUCCUCUAUUUCUGUUUCUACAAUUUUGCAAUUCCAAAUAUAACAUAUUAGAACUCCCUACCAACUAAUUAACUUAAAGUUUUUAGAGAGAAAUGUCUCACGCGUUGCUUUUCAUUUUCUUUUCAUGACACAAGCAACUUAAGUUAUUUGACUAGCUAGUUAUUAAUUACCUUCAAAUAAUCAUCUGAUGUAGUUAAAUUUAUUAUCAACAUAAAGAGCUAGAAGAAUUUUCUAUCAUAUCGAACUUGGAUGAAAAGUUUAUCUCAUCACAGACAUUUGAACGGUGGAGUAGAAGCAGUAGAUUGGAAACUUACAAGCGUACGGAACCUAAUAAUUCAAUAGAGGUCGUACGCCUCUUUCAAAUGGCUUAAAUAACUUCAUAAUUGUACAAUAUUUUUAUAUCAUCUACAACUAGUUGCCAGUUGGCAUUAAUUAAUAAAAAAAGAAAAAACUUCAAAUACCACCCUCGUCGUUUUGUAUUUUCUUACUUUAAUACCUGUGGUUUAAAGUGUAUCAAUUUCGUANUUUUUUUUUUGUUAUUCCUUUAACUAAUUUUUUUAUUAAAUAAGUGAUAAAGUUAAAACUAAAAGGUACUAAAGUAAAUAUUCGAUAAACUAUAGAUGGGUAUAUGAAAUUUUGUAUAUGAUUUAACGAAAAAUUAAUAGAUGAGCUGAUGAAAAGAGAAAAAUAAAAUCACAGGAUACUAAAUUAAUUAAUACACUUUAAACCAAAAAAUGCGAAACCACAGAGAUGAUAUUUGAAAUUUACCAAAAAAAAAAAAAAAAGUACUGGUACACUCAGAUUGUUGCGUCAUUAGCAUAUAGUCAUAAUUAUGAAAAAAUAACACCAAACAUGCAAAUCUCAAACGUAAAAGUCCCAAUAUUUUAAGAAAUUUAAUAUAUUCAGAGUAAAUUCUACUAUUAUCAAAGUAAAGAGAUUCGGAUCAUAAUUGGAUACAACAUAUAUAUUAAUUUGCUUUGGCAAUAUUAAAAAUUACCCAAAAUAUAUCAAUUCUCAUGUUUUAAACAUUGGGGAACAUAUGCAUAUAUAGGCAUGCAGUGAAUAGCACUCAACAUCUAUUCUAAUUGUGAAUUAACUAAUUGAGAAAAACGUUCUUUUCCAAUACCGAAAAAGCAUCGGCAGUUCUUAUCCCUUGCGUUCCUCAUUUUGGCUCUUUGUGAAACAACCGUUGUACUCUAAAAGCUUAACCUAUUAGAGAACGGUCUGGGCUCGAGACUUUUUAAUCGGCUCAUGACGUGGGCUUGAAUUAAAUGGGGGAAAAUUGAUAUGCUAGAAGCCUGGCGUGACUCGAACUCAGAACCUCCUGCUCUGAUACCAUGUGAAACAACCGUUGUACUCUAAAAACUUAAGCUGUUAGAGAACGAUAUUUAAACAUUUUUAUAUUUAACACUCUUCGUAUUACGCAAGUGUAUAUAUCAUUAACAAAGCCGUUUUAAUUUGUUGUGGAGCCAAUUUGUCCCCAGGCCCCGACUUAUUCCGAUCCGAAUAAAGUUAUUAGUUAUUGCCCCAUCCUUAUUCCGGAAAGAAAGGUAUUAAAUCCCCCGGAUUUUUUUUAAUUGCCGAAAUUAACGCUUUCCUAAGAUCAUAUUAUUGCUAAAAAGUCCACUAUAAUCCUAAAGGGUAUUUUGGUAAAUAUCGGCUCCGAGAUUAGUGCGAACAAGAUACCGCUUUUGUGCACGCAUAAAACUGGUAGCUAGAGCGGGGAAUCUAAAAUCCCGGGGAUCCGGUCACCUCCUAGUGCGGGGCCCGCAGGGGUUGUGAAUCUUCCCAUUGGUCCACGUGGCUCUCCCUAGCUGGCGAGGCCGUAACGUUUCCCCGAGCGAACGCUGCGGUGACGGUUAUUUUAUUUUAUUUUAUUUUUUUAUUUUAUUAUUUUUUAAUGUAUGUACCUCUUCGUUUCGCAGGCGCAAGAGGGAAGGGGUAUUAUAAAUACGAUUCUCCCUCUUUCUUUUGGUUCCCUCUCUCCCCACCACCACACCCGAGUCGAAGACGAUUCUCCCUCUUUCUUUUGGUUCCCUCUCUCCCCACCACCACACCCGAGUCGAAGACGAUCCCACUGAGUCGGGCCGCAGCUAUCUUCUACACACCUCUCCUCGUUGCGUCUGAGGCGACUCCGAAGCGAUUCGGCGGAGCUUCGCCUCUCUCGAUCGAUCGCCAUUGAGGAAUCGGAAGCUUCGAGCGAGGAGUAGAGGGAGACGAGGGGGGAGAUCGGAUCGGAUCGGAUCGAAGAGAUCGGAGCCGAGGAAGGUGCGUUAAUGGUGAGAGAAGGGGAGGAGGAGAGGAGAGGGACGAGGCUGGGGAAGUAUGAGAUCGGGAGGACGCUCGGGGAGGGGAACUUCGCGAAGGUGAAGUACGCUCAGCACACGGAGACGGGGCAACCCUACGCCGUUAAGAUCCUCGAUCGGAAGCGGAUCCUCUCCCUGAAGAUCGACGAUCAGGUACUACUCUACUUCGAUUCGAUCUUUUCUACGCCCUUACUUGGUUCGAUUCAAAUUCUCCGAGCGGGAAGGAAGAAGAGAAGGGAUUAACGGAGUAGGUUUUGGGGAUUUUCUUUUUUUGAUUUGUUUUAGAUAAAGAGGGAGAUCGGGACGUUGAAGCUUCUCAAGCAUCCCAACGUCGUACGGUUACAUGAGGUCCGUUCUUAUCUCCGUUAAUCUUCUUCUUAUUGUUGUUUAAUUAGUUCAUUUUAAAUCCCCUCUUUAAUUUGAUGUAUAUUUGCGUAAUCUAGCUUCUUCUUCUUCUUCUUCUUUUUUUUGUGAUGUUUAAUGUUUUGUUCGAUGCGUGACCACUAUGAUGAGACCUCAGAAACUUGCGGCUAUUUCACCUUGCUUCUGCUUCGGUUUCAACCGUAGUCAUACUCAAUGCGUGUUUCACGGUUAGAAACUAAGAAAUAUAUAUAAUAUAUAAUAUAGAAACAUGAUUUUGGAAGCUCCAACUAGCUCAAUUUAGGCCUUCUAUUUUAUGCUUCUAGAAAAAGUAGUGUUAAUUAAGCUUUAUCCCAUACGGUGCUUAUCCUUAUAGUAACUACUCAAAUAACAAUACGCGCUAUUAUGGUAAAGCCAAAUAUGUCCUUAUAUCUGCUAAAUUACAGUGUCCACCUGAAUACCAACAAAAAUUGACGCUAGGCGCCCCCCAAAAAAGGAGAACUAUUUUGCCUAAAUUAAGAAUUUGAACAGUUUAAUAUAAUAUAUAGUGAACUGGUUCUCCGUUUCCGUUUCCGUUUCCGUUUCGGCGCCGCACGUCGAAGUCGUGACUGAUUUGCGUGGGGCCCACGGGCUUUUGGCUACGCUGGUUGGCCGCGUGAGGGUGGGGCCCGCUGCAUGCAACAUGCCGGGACGCCGAUCCCGUGUUGCCUCCCCUCUACUUUCCGGACGGAUUAGAUGGAAAAUGGCGAGCUAAUCACGGCCGUCCACAUGUAAAAGCGCUGGUCCACGUGAUCGUAUUCCGUAAAGAGCUCCAACCAUCAAACACCUCGGACCACCAACAGGAAUCGGGUUUCGCCCCCUCAAUGAUUGGUGGGGCCCGUUUGAAAAAUAACGCCUCCUUUUGCCUGGUGGGCCCCAGCCAUGUGAACCAGAUCGACUCCAACCUCGCUUCUUCUCUCUCUGUCAUGUGGAUGUUCCCUCUGGCCAUCUCAUCUACCUGUUCCCUAGUACCCACAAAAUAAAAUUUUGUCCAAAGUUUUUCAUCGGCUAAAAAAUGACCAUUCUUUUCGUGCACUACCAUCAUCAUUGGAUUGGAUUUGGAGCAGUUGNNNNNNNNNNNNNNNNNNNNNNNNNNNNNNNNNNNNNNNNNNNNNNNNNNNNNNNNNNNNNNNNNNNNNNNNNNNNNNNNNNNNNNNNNNNNNNNNNNNNGAGGCGGAGAGGAGGAGAAGAGACGAGACGAGAGGUGGCUAGGGUUUUUCGAGGGAGAGACCGAGAGGGUAUAUAUAUAUAUAUAUAUAUAUAUAUAGGACCCGAUUUUGUGGGCCUGGAUUUUCAAGCCCAUUUUGGCCCAUAUAAACUGUGCAUUGACACUACGGCCUAAUAUGGCUGAGUUCGAAUAUAGCCCCAUUGUGGCCUACGAACGAGUUUGAAGGUGAGGGGCACAGUAUGAGGCCUAUUAUGGCCCUGAAAUAACCACUUUUUUCAUAUUUUUUAGGAUAAACUUCAAAUGGUUUUAUAUUUUCUCACUUUAAUAUUUUAUAAUUUAAAAUGUAUCAAUUCAGUAGUCUGUGGUUUUAUUUUUUCCUUUUUAUCAGCUCCUCUAUUAACAUUUCGUUAAAUUAUCUACAAAAACUUUUGCUAACAUUAGUUUUAACUUUGUCAAUGAUUUAACCAAAAAAAAUUAGUGAAAGAGAUAAUAAAAAGAGAAAAAAAAUCACAGGGUACUAAUUUGAUAUACUUUAAAUCACAAGUACUAAUAUAAAAAAGUGCGAAACUACAGGGAUGAUAUUUGAAGUUUUUCUUAUAUUUUAAGGAGGAUGACCCAACAUUAGGCCCAUUAUGUCCCAGGAGAGAGUUUGAAAGAGGAGAAUGAUAUAGGCUCACUAUGGACCAAAAAUAAAUUUCGAGCGCCAGUACAAAACAAUGUAGGAUGCAGUAAGACCCACAGGCCCAUUAUGAGUGGAAAAAGAUGCAGACAAUUGUUGGCCCAUUAUGAGUGGAAAAAUUUGGAUCCAUAUGCGCGCACUCAAGUAUUAUAACAUAGUUUAAUACUCCAAUUUAAUCAGGGAACAAGAAAACCAAAAAGGAACUUGAUUAACAUAAUCAACGGGUACAGCAUAAACACUCGAUUCCUUUCCUAAUCGGAAAGAAGCGAAUGAUUAUUACAAAUAAAUUAAUUAAACAAACUUCUCAAAAAAAAAAAACAAAACAAAACAAAACAAGAUAAAUGCGAAGUUUUUUGUGGUUACACCAACCCUCGAUUGCAUGAAAAGCCGCCGAAUGAAGCAAAUCCAACUAAAAUAAUUUUGACACUGGAACGAAAUAGACGCAAAAAACAAAUUUUGAAUCUCGCACACGCAUGCACGCAAGCAAAUUGAUUGUCGAUCAGUUCGCCACCCUACAAUUCUUCCUGAUCCGGCCGCCGUUGGCGCUGGUGAGUAUCUCGAUGGCGCCCAUCUUCACCAUCGCCUUGUUGAAGCUCCUCGGCCACGUGUACGGCUGGUUAGAGCUUUGGUUCACCAGCGCCGCCGCCUGCGCGUUGUUCAGCAACGUCUGGUCCGACGUGAAAAGCACCUUGUGCGCCUUCACCAGCUUGUAGUACCUCGUGUUGAAUCUGUAUCACACGACCACCUUAGUGUGAGUAUAUGAAGAAUAUAUAUAUAUAUAUAUAAAUAUCAUUCUUUAUCAGCUUAAAUUUUUUUUUUUUUUUNUGUCGACCACCGGGUCCCCGCCGCCGUUCUCCGGGCACUUGGUCUUCAAGUAGGCAGCGAAGUUCUUGUCCAUGGACGGGUCGACGCCGUCGGGGGAGUUCCAGGAGUAGAGGCGGUUCGAGAAGGAGGAGCAGUGCGACCGGCCGACCGCGUGGGCCCCGGAGAGGAUGACCAUGUCGUCCAGGGUCAGCCCUUUGACCGCGAACAUGCUCUGGAUCUGCGAGACGUCGCCGAAGGGCGGGGGCAGGAACUGCAUGGCCUCGGACGAGCUGGAGGUGCUGCCGUCGAGGCGCCCCGAGGGGACAGUGUAGUUGACGCCGCCCAGCAGGACCACCAAGUCGCGGGCCGCGAAGGCCAAGAUGUCGGCGCAGGAGACUUUCCCGGGGCAUGCGGACUCGAGCCGGGACUUGGCCGUGUCGAUCACUUCGAACCCUCGCAGGCUGAGGUUCGGCGGCGCCGUUUUCUCCGUGUUCGGUCCGUCGAGAAGCACAGAGGCGUCGCAUCCCUGGUGCAACACAAUACAAAUUUCAUUAGAUUUGGAUCGGCAACCUCUUCCUAUUUCAAAGUGUUCUUGGAGUUGAGAAUAUAUAAUAACAACUAAUUUCAAGGUGUUGUUAUAAAAUGCUAAAAUUUAUAGACACAGCUGUAAUUAAGUUUCAGUCGAUCAGUUCAAUUAGGUGAAAAAUGUAUAAAUAAGUAAUGAAGGGUUAAUUAAAUAUGUAUGUACCCUAACAAAGCAAUCGUGGAAGUGGAGCCUGAUGAGGCCUGCGCCAAUGCCGCGGUCGCCGGAGCCGGUGAUGGCGCUGCGCACAGCGUCUGCAACGAUGCCUUCGGCGUUCGGGCAUUUCGACUUGUAGUAGCCGACACUCAGGGAUGCCGAAGAUUGAAGCAUGCAUUGGAUCGUAACCACUGAGAGCAAAAAAGAGGCAAAAAUGGGCUUGUAAUUAGCUCUCCUCAUUUUCGCACUCGUGUUCACGUACUGUACUCACACAAAGAUAUAUACAAAGAUGAGGAUUUAGUAGCAAGUAAAGGAUUAAGAGAGUGAUUAAGAGAUGGAUGAGAGAAGCUGCUUUAGUGCCAUUGUAUUUAUAGGUGAGAAAUUAGAGAACUCGAAAUACUACGUGAGUUUAAUUACGAUAUUAUAAUGGAACGUGUGCACCACACCGAUCCUUCGUUCCAAAUUAUUUGCUCGUUUACUGUAUGCAUGCCACCCUACUAAAAAAAUAUUUGCAUGUUAAGAAAAAAAUUAAAAACUAAGUCUUUAUAAGCGAUGGAGUACAUAUAUAAUGUUACUAAAAUUAGGGCCUCAGUGACGUGCAAUCAACAAAGCAAAAGAUGUAGGCUUCUAAAUUAAGUCGCGUUAAUAAUUAAGACUAGUAUAUAUAUGUUUAUCGACUAUUGGAAUUAUUUUUGUUAUUCUAUGUGGUUUGUUAGUUAGUCGACCGAUCAUGAAAAACUUAGAAUUUAAUUUUGACAAUGACAAGUUGUUAAGGCCCGAUAUAAACUUCCAAUUAUUCUUCGAAGUCUAAUUAAUUAAUUAAUUAAUUAAUUAAUUUGGUUCUUCACUUUCGCACCAUAAAAUGAACUAUAGGAGGCCAUGUAUACACACACAUACACAUAUAGCUCGUUUCCUAUAUAAAAAUGGGAAAAUUCAAAAUAAUGUGCUUCUCCACUCUGCAUUGAGGAUCCGGCGAAGUUGACUACAAUGACAUUGAUUUUCCCAUUUAAUACUAGGUCUCGGUCCAAUUAAUUAAUACUUCAGCAACGAAUACAUAAUAAUUGAGCAACAAAUAAACGAUGGGCAUGAUAAACGGGUGAUGAUUAGCGAUUAUUAAUGUUGCAAUGAUCGACCAAAUUAAGUUGAUUGAGUAAUUGAUCAACCUCUCGAAGGCUAUUAAUUCUGUAUAUGCCUAAUGGAUUACGACUAUACCCUCGAUCGCACAUUCUACAAUUGUGUAUAUGAAACAUUAAUUGAACAAUGUGAUUAGCACGAUCAAUGCGAUAGCACAUGAUGCAAACACUUUCAUCUGUCAAUUUGCACGCAUGUACAUUGUAUCAUACGUGCACAAGCACAGAAUUUUUCGAUCAAAUUAAUGGAUGGCUUCUUGCUGAAUUCAGCUGCGUUAGGUUCUCGCAGUUUCGUUCGUUGCAAGUCAAGUGUAAGUAAGAUGAUUCUCAUGAGGCCAUGAACUCAAAGUUAUUUUCUUUUCUUUUUUUUAUUCUUUUUUGGAUUUUAAAGUUUCGGAGGUAUCAUGAGUCUCUUGUCCCGCAAUGAUUUUUGCUGGUACAAUUCGAUCGCAUGCAAUUUUGUGUGUGCGGCCACAAUUACUGGCUCUUAACCAAAUCUCCCUUUUUUCAACAAAUAAUAAUAAUAAUAAUAAUAAUAAUAAUAAUUGGUAUCUCCGAAGAGACCUCUUAACCAAAAUCAUUAUGGUGUCACCCUUUGAAUUAAUGGGUCCAAUUUUCUACCUUUUAUGGCAGUAAUUUUUAUAGUCCAAAAAGCAAAAUAUAUAGAAAUUAAGUAAUUCACUAAAAUACGUUGACAUUUUUGUUGCGGAGAGUAUCUAAAAUGGUGGUAAUAAGCGCAAGAUACUAGUGGGCUAAAAGAAAUAAGAGCUCGAGACUUAGUUCGACCAAAAUUUGUGUAUAUCCAGUAACAAAGUUAGAGUCCAUGGGCUCCAUCAAACCAACUCCAUGCCUGCAUAUCGAACAUAUUUAAGGCCCAAAAUAUCUACCAGUUUCGCUUAAUUCGUUGGAAUUAAUGGAAGGGAAUUAACUUCAUAUAUAAGCAUACAUCUAUAAAAAUGUAAUUGUUUUAUCAGUAAUAACGCUCAAGUGAGAUGUAGCUGUUUGAUCUUACUUUCUUCGACGCAAUAUGUUUCUCUAACACAAUUGCUGCCCAUUUGAUAUAUAGUGGCCUUUAUUGGUGCAAUGCAUCCUAUUGCUGCAAAAAUACAAAAUAUAUGCUGAUUACAAAUUGGAGUUUUUGCUCGUCACAUUGUGACAUGGUUUGGUGUCUCAAUGCGAAACUGAGCCAAAUAAGUCCUAAAUGUUCAGAGAGCAAAAUAACUCCUAAUCUUGCUUGAGCAUUAUAUAUCAUCUCUAAUACUAUAUAUGUAAUUUUCAUCUACAAAAACAUUAAUAAGAUAUAUAGUCUUACUUAUAGUUUUGUAUUAUAUAUUGGUUUCUAUGCUCAAAGUAUUUUUAGACCACAAAUUAUCAAUUAAAAUCCAUGUUUAAACAUUGAAUUUUAUUGUGGUAUUGUCAACAUAUGUUUGAUUACACUAAUAAUUCAUUUGACUUUCCAGGACAUAAUUUAAUUUGUAAGAGUCGUUUCAAGCUCGAUGGAAUGUUACAACUACCAUUUUUAGUGAUUAGCAAUAUCUUCACAUUAAUUAAUAACUAUAUAACAAUGAGAAUGUACAUAUGUUAUAUUCUUUUGGUUUUCUAUUGGACCUGGUCAUUUUGGUGUACAACUACGUGCAUAUAUAAUUGGUCAAAUAGAUCGGUUGAGAUUCCCUACAAAUAUCUACAAUUUGUUAGGACAAUCUUGUUGAAUAAUUUGGGGUGUAAAUUCCUAUAAUAAGGAACUUAAUUUGCUUUCCCCAUUCAUUACUUAACUACUUGUUGCUAAUAGUAAUUGGCACAGCUAUAUAUGUUUAGAAUAGGAAGAUAGCUAGCACGCUAUCCGCUUCGUUUCAUUUCAUUUAGAAAUAAAUUUAGCUGAAAAUGUGAAUCAACUAGGAUUCGAACUUGGGACCUCGGGUACCAACCAACAAGUUCUUUGCCACCUGCUCUAGAGGUGGUCGGUGGAAUUUUCGAUUUUCAUUCUAUUUUGGCCUUGAUCCAAGGGGAUUAUUGUCUUUCCUUGACCUUUAUUUCCCCAAUUCCUUAUUCGAUCUAUAACAUAUAGAAUAAAGACCCCUUUAUUAUCCAUCUUUUAUCUCCUUGUGAUGUCCUCUAUAACAUUAACCAACACGUUAUCUUAGAAUAACAUACCUGUCAACAAAUUAAUGAGUAAGGUUCUGGUCAAAGUAAUUAGUUGAUCCAAUCCAACCAGUUAAAUUGGAUCUUAGUAUCAUUAUAUACACGAAUGAAAACUUAGCCAAUUCAUUAAUUAUAAGCCCCAUCCACUGAUCCACCCCCACAGCUUUAAAUUCAACCUAGCUAGGAUUUGCUUAUAANUCUUCGCUAUUACGCCAGCUGGCGAAAGGGGGAUGUGCUGCAAGGCGAUUAAGUUGGGUAACGCCAGGGUUUUCCCAGUCACGACGUUGUAAAACGACGGCCAGUGAAUUGUAAUACGACUCACUAUAGGGCGAAUUCGAGCUCGGUACCCGGGGAUCCUCUAGAGUCGACCUGCAGGCAUGCAAGCUUAUUCCAUUGUAGUUGAGGUGACGUGUGAAAUUUCCACCACCAUUUAGUUAGAAGGGCUUGGUUCAUGGUCGCGACAUCCAAGAUACCUAAACCACCUUCUUUCCUGGACUUACAAACGUUUUUCCAAGCCACCAGACAACCCGUGCCAGGGUGGUCACACCCCCCGUUCCAGAAAAAGUCUCUUCUUAGUGAUUCGAUACGCUUAAUCACCCAAGUAGGUGUUUUGAAAAUGGAUAGAAAGUACAGUGGUAGAUUGGUUAGAACCGCGUUAACCAACGUAAGUCUACCCCCCCUAGAUAGGAGCUUGGCCUGCCAACCCCCAAUUCUACGAUGUAACUUUUGAAUCAUCUCCUCCCAUGCCGCCCUGGGAGGUGUUUUGGGAGAGAGAGGUAAUCCCAAAUACUUGGUCGGAAGAAUACCCAAUCUGCACUCAAGUAUGUUCGCUAAUCUAGCACCUUUGCCGUCCGUCUUACCCAGAUAGUAAAGUUCUGAUUUCUCCCUGUUGAUUCUCAUUCCCGAAGCCCAUUCGAAAAGAUGCCAGAGGAACCUAAGGUUUUCCACGCACCUACUUCUAGCCUCACAAAAAAAGAAAGUGUCGUCCGCGAACUGAACGAGUGUUAUCUUGCUUGCCUCAGAUGGGCCUAUACCAUGGAUGAGAUUAUUAAAGUUUGCCUCGGCAGUCAGCCGAGCCAUACAUUCCGCCACCAAUAAGAAUAGAUAGGGUGAAAGCGGAUCUCCUUGCCUUACACCUCUUCUCGUCUUUAUCCAUUUGGUAAGCUCUCCGUUGACCAGCACUGCCAUUUUAGCGUUACACACACACGAUUCGAUCCAGCCGCACCACUUGUCAUUGAAACCCCACCAACGUAGUAUUUGGAAUAGGAAUGGCCAGGAAAUCCUGUCGUAGGCCUUUUCGAAAUCUACCUUGAUACCCACUCCUUCAAUGUUCUUUUUACAACCCCAACCGAUAAGCUCGGCGACAGAUGCGUACGCGUCAGUAAUAUUCCUGCCUUUCAAGAAGGCUGAUUGAGUAGGGGAUAUCAGACCCUUCAUGACCUGUUCAAGCCUGUUAGCCAAGACCUUAGAUAAGAUUUUUUGAAUCCCGUUCAACAAACUUAUGGGCCGAAAGUCAGUCGCUCGCACUGCUCCCUCCUUCUUAGGAAUAAGGCAAAUGAAGGCGUAAUCGAUGGGCGCCGUGGAGAGCGUCCCCUCGAACAGUCUACAAUUUGUUAGGACAAUCUUGUUGAAUAAUUUGGGGUGUAAAUUCCUAUAAUAAGGAACUUAAUUUUAGAUUAAAAAGCUAUAUAUGUUCCUUUUCUACAAAUCAAUCCCUAACAAAGAUUUUAAUUCGUGCUUUCCCCAUUCAUUACUUAACUACUUGUUGCUAAUAGUAAUUGGCACAGCUAUAUAUGUUUAGAAUAGGAAGAUAGCUAGCACGCUACCCGCUUCGUUUUAUUUCAUUUAGAAAUAAAUUUAGUUGAAAAUGUGAAUCAAUUAGGAUUCGAACUUAGGACCUCGGGUACCAACCACCAAGCUCUUUGCCACUUGCUCUAGGGACGGUCGGUGGAAUUUUCGAUUUUCAUUCUAUUUUGGCCUUGAUCCAAGGGGAUUAUUGUCUUUCCUUGACCUUCAUUUCCCCAAUUCCUUAUUCGAUCUAUAACAUAUAGAAUAAAGACCCCUUUAUUAUCCAUCUUUUAUCUCCUUGUGAUGUCCUCUAUAACAUUAACCAACACGUUAUCUUAGAAUAACAUACCUGUCAACAAAUUAAUGAGUAAGGUUCUGGUCAAAGUAAUUAGUUGAUCCAAUCCAACCAGUUAAAUUGGAUCUUAGUAUCAUUAUAGACACGAAUGAAAACUUAGCCAAUUCAUUAAUUAUAAGCCCCAUCCACUGAUCCACCCCCACAGCUUUAAAUUCAACCUAGCUAGGAUUUGCUUAUAACUUUGAACGAAUGUCUACUAAAUUUUUUUAAAAAAACUAAGAUAUACGCACACAUGUUAAUGUUAUAGGAAUACAUACUUAGCCAAUCCAUGCAUGCAUGCCCUAUAUAUGCAUCCACAACGUUUCAAGCUACUAAAGAUUUGGUUUUUGAUAUUCUCUUAAUUCUUUUAAUUCUUAAUUUUUGUAUAUUGACAUUCUUUUAAUUUGAGUUAAAUAUAUGGAGAUCCCCUCAACUAUAGUGUAAAUUGAAAAGACCUCUCAUUUUGUUUAUUGACGUACAUUCUUUUAAUUCCUAAUUUUUCUCCAAAUUAAAUGUCUGUAAUCAAUUAAAUAUCAAAUGGAUCAUCGGCUUAUAUGUCCUAUAGUGACUAAAUUUAUCAAAACUUUAAUCUCACUAGUUAAAACAACUCAAAUAAAAUGAAAAAAAUUAAGAACUCGAGUGAGCUAACCGUAAAAGAAAUUUCGUUGAGAGGCAUAUUGCAAUAUUGUAUAGUACAUUCAGUUUGAGGGUCUCAUUAGAUCUACAGUAUAUCUCUUAGAUCGAUCUAUGUAUACAUGCAUGUUGAGGUGGUGGAAGAAUUAUUAAUGAUCGUAUGAUCUCUAACUGAUAAAUUAAUGCUCAUCACACGCCAUAUACGACAACCAAAGAAUUAAUUUGAGUUAAUUAGUAAUUAAUUUGAGUUAAUUAGUAAUUAAUUAUAUCACAAUUUGUGACAAGCGCCAGCUCCAAAGCACCAAGCUCCCACACUUUCCUUUUAAAAAUUAGGAGCUGUGGCUAAUUAUUAAUGAACAUUAAGCAAAACCGCAGCCCCAGUUGAUACUGCUAUUGGUCAACCUAUGUCACAUGAUUCUCAUUUACACUUGCUAACAUGCUCAAUUUAAUUAUAUCAUCCUCUGAUAUGUGGCCUCUUCCUAAGUACUCAGCACCAGCUUCUGAAAUAAUCAAUAUAUAUACCUACCCUAAAAAAAGUAUUCCAUGUAUUAUAUGAGAUGGAGUGUGCUAGCUAGUGGAUAUACAUGCAUAUGACAGAUGUAUUUAUUCUUAUUAUUUAUUUGCAAUCUUCUAGUUUGUUCAUUUAUUAAAGACCAAGACUUUCACAUUUGUCUUUUCACUCUCUCUUUUUUUUUAAUACUAAAAUCUAAAAAAGAAAGAGUUUAAAAAUUCAUAAGAUUUCAACUCUCGGAUGAGAAUUAUACCUACAAUCCUUUUUGGAUCGUAGACUUAGCAUUGCUCAAAAUUCUAAUACACAUUCUAAAAAUUCUACAACCAAUAUUUCCAUAAAAGUCUAGCAAGGCCAAUCAUGGGGUCCCUCGUAAUCAAAAUCUGCAUGCUUAAUUUUAGUGUCCAUUAAUUAAUUCUACAUUGAACUGUAGCGCCAAUAUAUUUGAGUGUUUGACAAAUAAACUGAUUUAGAGUCUCAACUCUCGACUGUAGGUAAGAACAAAAUUUAAAAUUCAAAUAAUAAUAUUAUUAAUUUAUAACUUCCUGAAUAUACUGAAAAACAAAGUACAGAUGAAAUUUUGAUAUAAACUUUUUUUUUUCUUUUCCUAAUAGCUAAAACAUUAAAGCAUUACAGUAACCUAGAAGAAGAGGCUCUUGGGACUAAAUAAACACGGGAAAAAAGUCAAAAUAAUAAUUAAUUUUUAAAAAAACCCCAAAGAACCGGUAGGUAGAUAGGUUGUGCGGUAAAAGUCAACUUGUGAGCUGGUGCUACCCAUGUUUACAUAAGUUUGCCUCAGAAACUGCACGCCCACGUUCUAGUUUUGCUUUAAUAUCUUUGUUUUCUUCAUCCAAUGUUACACAAAUUAUUAUAUAAUAUACGAGAAUCGGACGUACAAGCCUUAUCUUUCUCUUUAGUUUACUUGGGCCACGUUCUCUAUCUUCCUGUUUAGUUUACUUGGGCCAGUUCCUAGAUCUCCUUGCCAUCUAUAAAUACCACCCACUACUGCUGCAACUCUCCUCAUCACUACACCACCUUCUCGAUCUAAAGCUUAUUGAGUUUAGAAAUUAAUUAAAAGCUAGCGCAUAUACAGAGAGAUGAGGAGGAGGAGCUCCAAUAUUGUUGCAUUCUCAUGCAUGUUCUUCAUCUUGGCCUUGCAAGCCAUCCUCCCUAUCUCCUCUGCUUCCCUUCAAUUCGGUUUCUACGAUUACAACUACAAAUGCAAGAGAACUAAUGUCGAGCUCCUCGUGAGGGGCGUCGUCGCAAAGGCUAUCCGGAAGGACCCCGGCGUCGGCGCGGGCCUCAUCAGGAUGUACUUCCACGACUGCUUCGUUAGGGUAAGACCUGCAUGCAUGCUCUCUCUUCUUUUCUUCUUCUUUAUUACAAGCAUAUAUGUAGAGGCUAGCUAACUAGGACUCAAAGUCAAAUUAUAAACCAAUUAAACUUUUCUUUUUCUUUUUCUUUUUCCUUUUUGAGAAGAAUUAAACUAUUAGACAUAUAAUCUAUAUAUAAUGGCAGCAUUUGUGUGCCAGGUACAACAUAUUUACAAUAUAUCCAUUAGUGUUUCGUUCUAUACAUUGCUAAAUCCCACCAAACUAGCUAGUCAUCAUCGAAAGAGCAUAUUUUGUUUCUAAUUUUUUAAAGUGAACUUAAUUAUCGAAUGAGCAUUCUCGAAAACUUUAAAUAGCUACAUGGAUGUACGAAUGCAACGAACGCAUGCAAUAAUUUCUCUAAAGAAAUUAAAAGAUUUUUUUUUUAGAGAUAGAUAGCACGGUACUUGCUUCAUUUAUUUCAUUUAGAAAUAAACUUAGCUAGAAAUGUGAAUCAACUAGGAUUCGAAUUUGAUUCUCGGAUACCAAUCAUCAAACUCUUUGUCACUUGCUUUAGGGACGACCGGUAAAAAAAAUUAAAAGAUUAAUUAAAAGAAAAAGAGAGAAAAAGAAAAAUUCUCCCGCCCAAUAUUCUUCAAUCUGGACGCUACUUAUAAUUCAUCACCGGGUAUAUAUAUAUCCCGGCGAUCGACAUACAUGCAGGGCUGCGACGCCUCCGUCCUCCUCGACCCGACCACUGCCAACCCGACGCCCGAGAAGACAUCCGUGGCCAACUUCCCGAGCCUGCGCGGCUUCGAGGUGAUCGACCAGGCGAAGGCCAAGCUGGAGCGCCGCUGCCCCGGGGUCGUGUCCUGCGCAGACAUCGUCGCCUUCGCAGCCCGCGACGCCGCCUUCUUCCUGGGCCGCAUCUCCUACCCCAUCCCCUCGGGCCGCCUCGACGGCCGCAUCUCCCUCCAAUCCGAAGUCCUCCAAAACCUGCCGGCCCCCUCCUUCAGCCUCUCCCAAAACGAGGCCUUCUUCGCGAACAAGGGCAUGUCGCCCGAGGAGAUGGUGACGCUCUCCGGUGCCCACUCCAUCGGCCGGUCGCACUGCUCCUCCUUCACGGACCGCCUCUACCCGACGGAGGACCCGACGAUCGACCGGUCCUUUGCGGGGAUCCUGAAAGGAAUGUGCCCGCAGAACGCGGCGGUCGACGGCGUCGUGCCCCAGGACAUUGUGACCCCGAACCGGCUGUCCAACCAGUACUAUAAGAACGUGAAGGCGCACAAGGUGCUGUUCACCACGGACCAGAACCUGAUGAGCUCUUCCGAUACGGCAGCGAUGGUGAAGGAGAACGCUAGGAACCAGACUGCGUGGAAGGCCAAGUUCGCGGCGGCCAUGGUGAAGAUGGGGAACCUCGUCGAGCUCACGGGGCCGCCAGGCGAGAUCAGGAAGAAUUGCCGUGUCGUGAACUAGCUGUAUAGCUAGGGGCCGAAGAUCGAGUUUGCAUGCACGCAUGCAUGGCGUUUUCAUUCUACGCACGUACGCGUACGUACGUAAGUUAUUCGAUCUCAUGCAUGCAUGCAUGCGAACGUAACGAUGAAUAAUUCUCGCGAGGAUGCGUGGAGUUGAUUUAUUAUCUGGUCGAUCGUCGUGUUGUGUUUUGUUGUGUGUCUAGCUGGUUCUUCUGUUCUCAAUUUGUUCUUUCUUUUUUGUGUGUGCGUGUGUUUUUGGUUUUCAUUUCCUUCAAAUAUUUGCAAUUCGGGUUUAAUUUGAGCAAUUGUUGCUUGUAAUUGUAGAAAUUUGUAUUUGCAAGGUUGUACCACUCAAUGGAACCUUCGAGUGCUGUUCCAAAUAAUCUCCAUUUAAUUACUUUUUUGAGUUCCAGUUACAUCUCGAUCGAUUUGCUAUUUUACAUAUACACUGAACUACUCUAUUGUGCAAAUCAUAUAUGUAUAGUUCUCUUCCUUUUGUUACAUGCCUCCGAAUUAAAAAGAUUCCACAUAAUGUCGAGCAAAAGUUUCACCUCAACAAAUACGUUAUAGAUAAACAUGUCCGUGUUAAUUAAGGCUAUAUAUAUAUAUAUAGCCCAAGCACAAAGCUCGAAACGCCAAGCUUCUACUUAAUUUCUAUUUAGGAGCUCAACAUGACAAAUUAACACGCAAAUUAAUACAAUAAUUGCAUUAGUAAAUUUAAAAUCUUUGGAGCACGGCCACUCGUGUUGCUGACAGACCCAAAAUGUUACAAGGUCUUUCCUUACUGUCCGCCACUUGGUGGGUGGUUUGGACCGAAAGGAAUAAUAUCAUUUUUAGAGGAAAACGUACACCCGACUCCAUCCCGCUCCCUAGAACGUGUCACCCUCCUCCUGAACUCAUGGGACGAGCUCCGCUGAUUAGCGUCUACUGAUACUUCCAGUUUCACUGAUCUCUGUUUCGAUUGAACUGGCCCUACUGUUUGUCUUCCUUUUUCUCUUUCCCUUUGGAUUCUGUUUUUUUUCUUAUGCUUUUUCUUUUUUCUGCUUUUCUCGGAGGCCUUGGCUGCUUCCAUACUGUAUGCCUAGCUAGUUCAUUUCACUCAAUGAAUGAAGCGGGUAGCUUGCUAUCUAUUUAUCAAAAAAAAUAUAUAUAUAUUAACUACAAUAUCGUGUGAUAUAUAAUAAAUGGAUUUCGGUGUACUGAUGCCCAAAAUCAAAUAUUUAAUUAACCCUUAACCCAUCAAGUUUUACCUGUCUUCCAUUAAUUUCAUCUGCUUCUUACGAGGCAUUGCACUUGUUAAUUUCACAUUCCAUGAGAAAAACAUAUUGUUAAAACGAUGAAUUAAUGGAUUAUCAAUACUACUAGUAUAGAGACCCGCGCGAUACAGCGGGUAGAUAAUAGAAACAAAAUUUUAAUAAAAUUUAUAUUCACAACUUAUUGAUGUAUAAGAAGCUAUACCCAUAUUAAACAUAAUCAAUUUGUAUGACUAAAUUCAACUAUUAAAAAAAAUAAAUUAUAGUUAGAAGUUUAUAUAUAUUUUUUAAAAUCAUCGAAAUACAGUAAGAGACAUAUAAUUUUAUCGUAUUAUGUGCACUUUAAAUAUUCCGUUGUGAAAAAUAAAAAAGAGCUAGCUCCAGCGCAGCUAAAUCAACCUAGUGGGCACUUAUAUGAGCCGCGGCUCGAUUUUGCGGAACGAUGCUUCUCGAAGGAGACAACGUUCUUCGCAUGCUCUUCUUCUUCUUCUUCAUCUUCAUCGUCCUCAUCAUCUUCGUUAACAAAAUAAGAGAGAGAGAGCUAGAUGAGUAUUGGGUGGACAAUUAGAUGAUGAUAUUUUUUUUGCAUGAAAAAUAAGAGGCCGUGCAAGAAGAGAGGGGGGUGGGGGAUUAAUGGAGGUGGGGGUGGAUUGGUGUUGUAAAGCCCAUUUAUUUAUAGAAUAUAGUGCCUAUAAUUAAAUGUUGCAUUUUCGAUUAAUUAAUUUUCAUGAUUUCAAAGGAUUGGGAGGUGAAGGGUUUUGCGUUGAAAAGAGAUUUGAAUGAGAAGAAAUGACUAAUAUUGAAGAGAAAAAUGAGUAACAUAUAAAUUAAAGAGCACAUUAAUUACUUGUUAUUAAAUAAAGAGGAGGGGAGGGGAAAAGCCAAGAACAAAUGUGAGUUCAAAAAAAGGGUUAGUAAGGUUGAAAGAAAACUUGCCAUGUGGCAAAAAAUAUUGGUAAUUCAUUUAGGUUAAUAGAUGUUACCUUUUAUGCAUUGUCCCAAUUAUUAUUAAUAAUUAUCAAAGUAUGUGCUCUGCUCACUCGGACCACAGCAAUAUAUAAAGUAAACCUUCGUAUAAUAUUGCACGUUUGUUGCAUGUGCAUUAGUACGACUUUGCCUCAUGUUUGGUUCAUUUAACUGAUCAAUUUUUUCGACAAUGACUAUAUAAAAAGAAAUAAACUAAUUAAAAAAAAAUCCUAUAUAUCAACUUGAUUGAGAUAUUAAUAGAAGUCAAAAGAUCUAUUUAUUCAAAGGGCAUUUAUUAACUCUCUAUAGACAUUAAUGUAAGCUAAUUUAAAAAAUCUUUUGUGUUUCGCAAGCUAGUUAAAUCUUAGCUGUCCUGAAGUUCUAGUUACCUUGGGUGAUACGAAUUUAAUUUAUGUUUAUUAUGUGAAAUUCCAGAUAGAAAUAUUAGAUUGCAGUUGUACAUAUAAACAUAUAAACAAUCCUGAGGAGAUAACAUGUAUGAUGAAGGUGAAGUUUACACACCUAUGAAUAUACCUAGCUAGCUAUUAGUUUAAAGUGUACGCAUAUAUAUUUGACUUAAUUUGAUACUAUAAAUGCUAUGAUCUAGCACCAAGCACUUGGUGCUACCAAAUUUUUUGGCGUUAGAUGUACCCUUUUGAUCAUUUUCAUCCGUUAGAUCUUACUUUUCAACCAAUCACCCACUCAACCCUAGGGGGGCCAUAUCAUCCUAAUCGCACAUCUCUUGAUCCAAUGACAAAAAACUUGGUAGCAUCAAUGACUUAGUGCUAUUAAUAGUAUAUUAGCUUAGUUUUAUAUAUAUAUAUAUAUAUAUAUAUAUAUAUAUAUAUAUAUANAAUUUCACAUUCCAUGAGAAAUUAAAACAUAUUGUUAAAACGAUGAAUUAAUGGAUUAUCAAUACUAUGUUACCUUUUAUGCGUUGUCCCAAUUAUUAUUAAUAAUUAUCAAAGUAUGUGCUCUGCUCACUCGGACCACAGUAAUAUAUAAAGUAAACCUUCGUAUAAUAUUGCACGUUUGUUGCAUGUGCAUUAGUACGACUUUGCCUCAUGUUUGGUUCAUUUAACUGAUCAAUUUUUUCGACAAUGACUAUAUAAAAAGAAAUAAACUAAUUAAAAAAAAUCCUAUAUAUCAACUUGAUUGAGAUAUUAAUAGAAGUCAAAAGAUCUAUUUAUUCAAAGGGCAUUUAUUAACUCUCUAUGAACAUUAAUGUAAGCUAGUUUAAAAAAUCUUGUGUGUUUCGCAAGCUAGUUAAAUCUUAGCUGUCCCGAAGUUCUAGUUACCUUGGGUGAUACGAAUUUAAUUUAUGUUUAUUAUGUGAAAUUCCAGAUAGAAAUAUUAGAUUGCAGUUGUACAUAUAUAUAUAAACAAUCCUGAGGAGAUAACCUGUAUGAUGAAGGUGAAGUUCACACACCUAUGAAUAUACCUAGCUAGCUAUUAGUUUAAAGUGUACGCAUAUAUAUUUGAUUUAAUUUGAUACUAUAAAUGCUAUGAUCUUCCAAAAAGAGGAUGAGAAAAAUUGAACUUUGGAACGAGCAGUUAAUUUAGUUUGAGAAUCAUGAAAUUUAUCUAGCAAUAUGGUAUAUAUAUAUAUAUAUAUGUAGAGUCCGGCUACUAUACUAUUAAUAGCACCAAGCACUUGGUGCUACCAAGUUUUUCGGCGUUAGAUCUACCUUUUUGAUCAUUUUCAUCCGUUAGAUCUUACUUUUCAACCAACCAUCCACUCAACCCUAGGGGGACCACAUCAUCCUAAUCGCACAUCUCUUGAUCCAAUGGCCAAAAACUUGGUAGCAUCAAUUACUUAAUGCUAUUAAUAGUAUAUUAGCUUAGUUAUAUAUAUAUAUAUAUAUAUAUAGUAGGGCUACUGUGCUAUUAGAAGCACAGCAGCUCUUGUGCUCCUAACUUUCUAACCACCUAUCAAAUUUGAUGGGUGGUUAGAAUGAGAGAGGGAGGCGAUAUUGAAGAGAAAUUCAAGGAGAAGAGAGAUUUAAGCACCCAAUUUCUCCCCAAUAUCUCUUCUCUCUCUCAUUCUAGCCACCCAUCAAACUUGAUGGGUGAUUAAAAAAUUAGUAGCAUAAGGACUGCUGUGCUCCUAAUAGCACAGUAGUCCUUCUCUAUAUAUAUAUAUAUAUAUAUAAUUUGGUGGUCUUACGAAGAUAUAUACGGAGCAUGUGCAGCAACGUUGUUUCUGCAGUGAUGUGAUGAUCGCCCUACACCUGUUGUAUCUUCAAGAAGAUUCACUCUUUGCUAUGAAGGAGAGGAGAAAAAAUACUACAUAAUUUGAGUAGGGUUUUAUUAAUUACUGCUAAGCACAGAGCACAGAACAAUUAAAAGUUCUCAUUGAGGGAAGGAAAUCUUAUAGCAGGAACAUUUUUAAUUUGAUUCGUCAUUGAUUACGCUUUGGCGUACAGAUCUUAAAAAAAUUAUGAUUUUUUAAGAUAUAAUGGAGCAUUCGGAAACCUGUCCUAAUCAGGUAUUGUCUUAAUUAUUGUAUAUAUUCAGGGCACGUGUUGCGUUCCUUGGGAUGCGGCAUGUAGGAGCACUGUACACAUAUAAUUUUUUGGGCCACCGAAAGUGAAAAAAAUAAAUUAACUAUCAGCAGUACAUAUUUAUUUUUAUUAUUUAGUUCAAAGUAAUUUUAUUUUUACUCAAAUUUUAAAUUCUUUUAAAUACUGUAAUUAACUUCACCUCAUUCAAACUGAAGUCAAUUAUAAGGUAUACUUAAAAGUUAAAAAAUUUCAACUCCAUAUCUAUAAAAAAUAAAAAACAAAAAAAAAUCGCAUAAAUUUUAUUUUACUAGAAAAUCUGCUUCAACAUAAAAUUCACCAGGUCCCUAUUUUUUCUUUUCUUUUCUAGACUAAUUGCACUUUUGAUCCUUAAAUUAUAGGGUUAUUUGCAUACACGUCCCUACAAAUAUAGUGAAUUGCGAAAAUAUUCCUGCAAAACGGAAACGCCAUAAAUUGUCCCUGCAAAAGUACUAAGUUAUGCAGAUAUGUCCCUACCGUCCAGAUCUAUUAGAAAAUUUUCGUUAACCACGGUUAAAAUACUUAACCAUAAUUAAUUAUAGUGUGAAUUGACGUAUUUACCCUUCUUCCUUUUCCUUCUUCUUCGUCGCCGGCGAGGAGAUGCGGCCGCGACGGCGGCGACGGUGGCGAACCCUCUUCUUUUUCCUUUUCCAUCUUCCUCUUUUCCCUUCUUCUUCCUUCUUCCUCUUCCUCUUCCCUCUUCUCCGUCACCGGCGAGGGAGAAGAACCUCGUCGGGGUCGGCCUCGGAAAGGCGGGCGAGUUUCUGGAUGAGAAGCUCGAGAGCGUUGUUGUCAACGAGGGCGUGCGCGGGGUCGUCGUGGUCGCCGAGGACGUCGGCGUCGGUGAGGUCGGUGAGGAGGGAGACGACGUCGACGGCGAUGUUGGCGAUGUCGUGGCCGAGGAGGCCGACGAGGGAGGGGACGGCGUUGAGGGCGACGAGCUUCGGGUAGAGCUCUGGUGCCUCGGCGUUCUUCCCUCUUCUUCGUCGCCGGCGAACCCGACCCCGCGCCGCCGCCGCCGUCGUCUGCUUCGACGGUCCGAAGAGGAAGAGAAAGAGAAAGAGAAGGGAAGAGGAAAACUUUUGGAGGGAUAUAUUUGUGAGGGUAAAAUGGUCAUUUCACGAAUCCACUGUUAAAAAAUAAACAGAUCACUAACGGAUGUUAACCGAAGAAAUAUAUCUGCAUAACUUAGGACUUUUACAGAAACAACUCAUGGAGUUUCCGUUUUGCAGGAAUAUUUCUGUAAUUCACUAUAUUUGCAGGGACGUAUAUGCAAAUAACUCUAAAUUAUAAACAUUUUAAUCCUUAAACUGUAAUAUCCUAUCAUAAUUUCUGACUAAAAUUUUUACAUUAUUAUAAUGUACCGUUAACACAGCAGUAGUGCAACAUCUAAUUAUUUUCACGUCAUAAACUAAAAUAUUACUAUAUUACUAUAUUACUAUCUUAACACCUAUCAACGGCAUCACCACUUAGUGCAAACUUAAUUUGAACCAUUUAAAAAAUUUAGCCAAUAAUUACUACAAAUUUAAUUUGAGAACUACCACAUCACAAGCCUCAAUUGAGCCCUUAUUUAAUUACACACAAACUUCAAUAAAAGAACUAGUAGUUAUAUUAGUCUUUAAUUACAAGUUCGUGAGCUAACAAAUCACAUCUCAAGCGUUCAGAAAAUUAUUUGAAUCAAUGCAUAUGCAGUAGGAUUACUCUCUUUCUAUCUAAAAUUUACAUCUCAUUACCUGUCCCUAAAAUCUAAUCUCUCUCUGUUUUUCUAAUAACAACUCAGGUAAAAAUCCUAAGCAAGAAAUCUUAACCAGAAGUACCAAACACAAUUUGCGCAGAACCUGCAUGCCGUGCACUAUUCCUCACACUGCAAUAGAAUCAGAUCAACAAGCUGGAAAUUAAAGUUCUACGUUAACAUCAACAUUUGCAACAUAAGCCAGAUACGUACGCGCUUAACAUUCAGAUCCCAAAAUGGAAGUUAAAAAGAGUCGAACUAGUCUCUUUGCAAUCCAUGCACCUCAGCGCACACAGCACAAGCAUACAUAUACAUAAAAACACACACAUAUAUAGACUUACAGGUAGUACACUACGUCCAUAACAUUUGAUAUUAUGUAUUAACUCGACCUAUUUUUAACUUGUGCAUAGAUAUAUGUAUGGGUUUAGACGUUGGUGAAGCGUAGGUAUCCCUUCUUGGAGGGGAGAUCAGCAGUCUCCCAUCCGUUGGGGAACAUUUUCUUGGCCUCCUCGUCGGUCACGCUGGGCCCGAUCACGACGGGCUCGCCGGGCUUCCAAUUCGCAGGGGUCGCCACCUUGUGCUUUGCCGCCUUCUGCACCGAGUCCACCACCCUCAACACCUCAUCCAUGUUGCGCCCCGUCGACGCCGGAUACAGAAAGCUCGCCUUCACCUGAGGGUACGUGGUUCGGGUAAAUCCAAUUGAGAAGAAAGGAAGCUAUGUGUAGUAGCUAGUAAUUAACUAGUUGUUGUACGAAGCAACUCUCACAAGAAUAGAAACGAUUCUUCCGUAAUCCAGAAGCUCGAUCUUUACAAGCAGUACUUCUUAUCUAAGGUUGGCAAAAGAAACUAGGCCGCAUUAAUUGUUUUUUUUUAAAAAAAAAAAAAUUUAAACCCUUAUUAUAUAAUUUGAAUUUGAAAUGUGUUAUCUUACAUUGUGUUACAAUCAUGUGACGUACGACAAUCAUGUGCUUAAUUCAGAACUAAUGCUUUUCAUAUACAAAUUUUGAAUUGCGCUAGAACUACAACUCAAAAUGGGAUUUGAAUGCCACUACUCUGUAGAAGGGCCACCUUUUUUCUACCAAUCUUAUCACUCCUUCCCUAUUUUUUAAAAAUAAAACUAAAAAACUGAAAGAAAAAAAGAAAAGAAAAGAAACUCUCUAAGAGUUACAACUUGUAUGAAGGGCAGUAGACUUGUAUUCUCAAAUAUUUUAUCACUUCAUCACAUACAAUCUUCGCCAACAGAGACAUCCCCAUAUACCUUAGUAGGCAUACCAGUACUAGCAAAACCUGUACAUCAAAAUUCUGAGAAGAUACCUACUCUAAUCAAUUGUUAGAGCAAGUAACAAAGAAUUUGAUAAUGGUUUCAGAUUUGAAGCCCUGUUGCUUCAGAUUCUGACAAAAUUUAACUGCCAUAUGGCGCACGGCCUUGACUCUCGUCUCUGUUUGCACAAUUUUGCAUGUAAUACCUAAGGAUGGAUAGGUACCCCAAAGUCCUUUCUGCCCGUUAAUCUCAUGAGAUACAAAUACCACCUUUCUAUUAUAAUAAAUACUCUGGACUUUGUGGUUGGUAUUCGAGACCCAAGUUCGAAUCCUAGUUCAUUCACAUUUCCAGAUAAGUUUAUUUCUAAAUAAAAUAAACGAAGCGGGUAGCGUGCUACCUAUUUCUCAAAAAAAAAAAAAAAAUACUAUGGACUUUUUCAUUAAGGAAUUGGUUUGAUUAAGAAGCUCCGCGAAAUUAAACCACUAAAAAGGCACCUAAAAUCCGAAUACUGAACAGGUUUUUUUAGUAACGUUAAUCCAUACCAAAGCCUCAAGUUCAUGCAUAAGAUUUCCAAUCAUUAGAAUUUAAACUGCAAAAGCGGGUUUAAAUUAAAAAAAGUACCCGCUUAUCAGGUCCCACAAUAUGGAGAGCCCUCGACGGAAGUGCCUUCCCCUUGGAGUCCUUCUCGUCCGGGUCCACCAUGUUCAGCUCUUUGAUCACCUCCCCCUUCGGAUCCGCCGCUAUCGGAUAUGUUACAUGGCAACCCGGCUGUACUCAAAUAUUUUCCCCAAAAAUAGGAAAAAAAAAAGUGCUGAAAUUAAUUACUGGGCAGCAAUAUAUAUGGUACCAAAUGAAAAUUAAAUAAAUAAAUAUAUAUAUAUAUAGAAUUAAGUUGCUAUACUAUUAAUAAUACAAAAUACAAAAUGCUUGGUGUUAUUAGAUUUUUUUAGUUCUUGGAUGAACAGACGUACGGUUAGUUAGUAAGGUUAAGUGAGUAGUUGUUAAAUAUAUAGUACAAUCUACAAUCUAAUAAUCUAAUAGAUAAGAAUAAUCAAAGAAUAGAUUUAACGAACAAAAAAAUCGAUAAUAUCGAGCAUGUGAUACUAUUGAUACGAUUGAUAGUAUAGUAACCGAAAACUCGCUCUUUCUCUCUCUCUCUAUAUAUAUAUAUAUAUUAGAUAAAAUGAUUGGCCAAUUGAUUAAUUUUGAUCGAUCACCGUGUAGGCCUCGAUGUCUUUGAUCCACUCCUUGUGNCUCUAUAUAUAUAUAUAUAUUAGAUAAAAUGAUUGGCCAAUUGAUUAAUUUUGAUCGAUCACCGUGUAGGCCUCGAUGUCUUUGAUCCACUCCUUGUGCGACUCGACGCUGUCGCACGACAGUCCCAGCAGCUUCACCCCGCGCUUCUCGAACUCCGCCGCGUACGCCGCCAUCUUCCCCAGCUCCGUCGUGCACACCGGCGUGAAGUCCCCUGCGAAAUCCAGUCAAAGAUUCCCCAAAACUAUUACUGAAAAUUAAAGAAGAAACGCUACGAGCUAGUGGAAGUGCUUCUACACGUACGAAGCAUGCAUGUGUAUAUAUAUAUAUAUAGCAUGCACGAACUAACAAGUAGCCACUUCAUCCGUACCGGGGUGGGAGAAGACGAUGGCAUAGCCGUCGCCGACGAACUCGUGGAUUCUGAUCUUGCCGUGGGUGGUCUCCAACGCCAGGUUGGGGAUGGUGUCUCCGAUCGUCAGCCCCGGCAUGGCUUCUUCCCAACCUGAUCGAUCGAUCCAACUACUUCUUCAACACGUACUAGUCUUACUGGUGAUUACUAACUAACUAGCUACUACACACUUCUAGCUACUUCUAUUAAUUCCGAGAAAUGGUUUUUGGAACUGGGUUUGGGCUUCUCAUUUUUAUAGCAGAUUAAAAGUGGCGACACGUUUCGAGCACGUGGAGACACGUGGAUGGCGUCGUGGCAGCAGGUUUGUUAUUUUAUUUGUCGAAAGAUGAGGGAUGUGUACAUGGAUCCGUACCCACUGCCCGUUGCCACCGAAACGUGUCAUGCUGUUCUUCAAAGUGACGAGCCUUUGAAACUUGUAACGGCCUUUACGUACAAUAAUAAUAACUUAGGUCUCAUAUUAACUUUUUAUUUUUUAAAUUAAAACUUUAUAUAUUAAAAAAAAUACAGAAAAGAGUAAUAAAUUAUAAAAAUUAUUCAACAUAUUUAUUUAGUAAUAAAAAAUAAAAAUUUAAAAUAAAUUAAUGUUUAUUAUUUAAUUGGAUUCACUAUAAACUAACCAUUAAGAAUAAUAAAAAUUUACUUCACCACAUUAAAUAAUAUAGGACUAAUAUAUUUUUUUUUUUUGAGAGGAAGGUAGCACGCUACCCGCUUCAUUCAUUGAUUUGGUGAAUUAAGCUACAAGUGUGGGGCAACUAGGCCCCGCGGAAUGGUCAAGGCAAGGUUAAAAAAAAAAAAAAAAGGUACAAAAGUACUAAAUUGAUCCGAGCAGCGGUUCCCACUCCUUCAGCAGUUUCUUGAGACUGUUUACCGCUAUCCCUGGGUUAGGCCAGAUAUUCCGAAAGAUCAUAUCGUUCCUGGCCUUCCAGAUAAUCCAUCAUUAUUAGGUCAAUAAGACCGGAGCGCUUGUUCAGAUGUGUGUUUUUCUCCCUCCACCUGUCCCAAACUAGGUUCACAUCGACCCCCAGAUCAAGAGCUUGGAUGUCUUCCACCCCUGUCACCUAUACAAACUUACCAAAUACACACUUGGUGAAUAGAUGAUCCGCUGAUUCAACCUCCAUCCCACAAAGCACACAGGUUGGAUCCUGAAUCCACCCUCGCUUGACAAGCCUAUCUCUUGUGAGGAUUCUUUUCUUGAGAAGCAGCGACACGAAAACUUUAACUUUCAGUGGGAUUGUAAGACUCCAAAUACGUGUGGCUCGUUCAUGUCUCGUACCGCCGUCCAACAAAGCCGAAUAGGUGAAUUUGACCAAGAAUAUAGGACUAAUAUUUAAAAAAAAAAAAGGUUGAGGAUAUAAAAUGAGGCCUAUUCUGAAUCUCUGAUACUCAAAUUAUAAUAUAUGUCACAUCUUAAUUCUCAAAUUUUAAUUUAUUAUAAUUUUUUUAAUUUAAAAUUUAAAAAUUAUCAAUUAUUCAAAUUUCACAAUCUAAUAAUUUUUUUUAAUGUUCUCAAAGAUCUUCGUGCGUGUUACGCCUUUGACUCUAACCCGGGCCGGUCUGGAGCAAGUCAAAGUUAAUAUCCUUUCCAACGAGAAAGAGGGAAUUUUGAAAAAGGGCUUCGAAUAUUUCGACCAUAAUAAAAGCCUUCAAAUUAACCGAUCUGACCUGCCAUCCCAUUUCCCAGCAAGUAUGGAAUAUCGCUGGAAAGGCAUAUCAUUAAACAGUGCAUCUUUCUUUUUUUUUUCUCUUUUUCGAUUCCCAUAUUAGUUUUGUAAUUUAAAAAAAAAAAAGAAAAAAAAAAGAACUAAACUAGUUAACUUCGGAUCGAGAAAAGGUGACAGCUGAAUCCACGAGAUAACACUACUGGUUCAAAGGAGAAAUGUGCAAAACAAUCAUGGUAUUCCUCAAUUCCUUUCCUAAAUUGGGCGACUCAUCUCCACAAUUAUGCAUCUUUUCCCAUUUAACUAAUUGAGAUAGCAUAUCAUGCGGGUUGAGUAGGUUGUAUGUACCUUCCCACAGUAUCUUCUUUUCUGAUCACACCAGAAAAAGGAUAUUUCAGCUCAAGAGAGAGACCAAUAGCCGGACAGAUUUUGAAAGUAGACAAAUGGUGGCUCUAUCAUGGGGGAAUCUGUGCUCACUAUAACAAGCAACAACAGGAAAUUUAAGCACACAAUUAAUGUGAAAUUGCACAGAAAAUUUAGCAGUAGAUGAGCACAGAGUACUUAUUCUGAAAGCUGAUCUCUUCGUUUACGAAGUGGUAGAAAUUUCAUUUCAUUCAGACUCUCCAGUGUAAAGAUGUGCGGCAUAUAAUUAGUUCAGCUGGAAGGUAUCUACUAGUAAAGAUAUGGUAACAGCUUAAAGCUGAGAUGCGUAUUUGAAUAGCAACUUAGAACCACAACAAUCCAUGUCUACCAUCUUGUCGAACGGAUGGAACGCCAAAAUUGGCUUUGAAUUGUUAACAACCCUUCUCAAACAAGCCAAAAUUGGUGUCCGCAUACAAAACAAACACUUAAUACAUCGUCCAAGAUUUUAAUACUUUUGCUCCUUUCAUGUACUUUUCUUAAGGCACAAAGCAGCAACAGCAACAACAACAACAACAACAACAAAAGAGUCCUUCCCCUUCUAUAUUCUGAAUCUCACAGUCCAACCCAUUCUAAAGCCCUCAAAUAGUGGUUACUGAUAGAGCUGUUCGAAAGCAGUGAAGGAUCAACGUACAAAAGUACCACCAGUUCCCCAACUGCAUCAAACUUCUUUAAGACGAGUAAAUAGAUGUACAGAGAAAGGAACAAGUAUGGUAAUCAGUGGCUAAUGCCUACCUGGUUGUGAUUGUCAGAUGAGUCAUUUAGACCUAAGCAAGUCAGUGAUUGUCAGAAGAGUCAUUUAGACCUAAGCAAGUCACAAAAUCGCAGACGGAGACUUUGGCAUAUAUACUUGUCUUGCUGGGGUUUCCACAUUACAUUCAACUAACAGGUUAAAACAUGAUGCACGCGACCAAAGUUGAACUAGCACACAAGCAAUGACCUAACGAACUUGAUCCAGCACAAAGUUAGUAAGAAGAUUCACAUGGGGAGUGGUAAAUCGGUAAUACCGUCAUGCAAAGGUUACUGAACAUUAUAAGAAAUCAAAAUGGUCUAUAGAUAAGAAGCUCAAGUAAUAAAAGUGUUAACAACUUACAAAGGUUCUGUCUGCAUCUGAAUCGAAUGCCUCAACAAAGAUAAACUCCGGGCAUUGAUCUACUACUCCUGUUAGAGAAUCAAUGAUGAAUAAUUCAAAUCACAUCCCCAUCCAUCUGACGAUUCAAGCAAAUCUGCUUGCUCCGAACUCGUAGCAAAUCCCCACUCUCACGCCUCUGUACAAAUACAAUGACAGCUCUCCUUCUUCUUUUCCUCCUCCUUGUGAGACAGAAGAACAAACAGGUGGUGUGCAUUACGACGUCUCACCGCCGUCGCCCGUCUCAGCAGCGUUCUUUGCAGCCAUCAGCUCCAAGUCCCUCUCCAACUCCUCCUUCCGCCUCUUCAUCGCCUCCAUGUAAUCCCUGUGCCCCUCCUCCAUCAUCUCCACGAACUUAUCCUUGAUCGCCAGCAGCGGAUCGCGGUCGACGAGCUCCCCGAGCUCGUCGUAGGCCUCGCGCAGCAUCGCCGUCUUGAUCCCGCCCUUGAGCGAGACGUAGAAGAUGCCGGGGUGGCGGGUGAAGGCGCUGGCGAAGGCGUUGGAGAGGCGGAACUCGUCGCAGAACUUGCCGAGGAUGGGGACCGCGGCGCGCUUGUGGAGGGUGAGGGAGAGCAGCUCGUGGAGCAACCCCACGGCGCGCUUCUCCAUCUCGCGCGAGGCCGGGUGGAGGGCGGAGGCGUCGGCGUAGGGGGAGAUGUAGGGGAGCUCGAGCCAGUCGCGCGCCCACUCGCGCAUCUCCUUCUUGAGGUAGAAGCCCCUGGGGAGGCGGACGGCGAAGUUGGGGCGCAUGCGGACGCCGGUGAGCUCGGACUCGGCGUCGGCGCGGGCCUCGACGGCGGAGCGGGCGUAGGAGUGGUCCCAGGCGACGAGCUCGACGAAGCAGGGGCCGUGGCCGGGGUGGCCGGAGAGGCGGAGGAGGUCCGGGUGGGCGGGGACGAGGGAGGUGAGGAGGUCGUCGGGGAAGCCGAAGUCGCGCUUGACGCAGAGGAGCUUGUCGGCGGGGAGGGCGCGGUGGCGGGACAUCAUGAGGAGCUUGACGAGCUUGGCGAGGAGGAGGGGCUCGUGGAGGGAGAGGAGGCGGUCGCGGAGGGCGAGGAAGGAGAGGAGGGAGGGGGACGGGCGGAGGAAGGGGACGGCCGGGGAGGGGGAGGAGGGCCGGAUGCGGUCCGGGUAGAGCUCGAAGAGGUUGGGGUAGCGGCGGAGGAAGGUCGGCACGCGGAGGGGGAGGCGGAGGCGGGGGCGGCGCUUCUCCAGGUAGCGGAGCGGGAUGCGGACGGCCGGCUACCGCGAGAACCUCCCGGAUCGCACGCGCCCAGCAGAGGCCGUAACCGCUUGUCCGCUCGAUGGCCGAGUCCAGCGCGCGGGUCCCGCCCCCCACGGCACCUUCAGGCUCGACACCCCUGCGUCGGAGACACACACACCGUUUCGCGCGCCCUGCCUGCUGCUGCUGCUGACCGCUGACCGAGCGUCUGUCAGGGACGAGAAGAGCGACGAGGACGAGGGCAUGGCGCUCUCUGUCUCUGUCUCUCUCUCUUCCGUUUCGGCUUCUGCUCAUGAAGCUGCUGAACCAAGCACAUGAUACGUGAUUAUACGCACAUAUAUUUAUGUAGACAAUAUUAUUGUUAUAUGACAAAAUUUUUGAAUGCGAAUAACACCCAAACCAACCGUGAAGGCGUUAAGUAAUAAUAUAUUAUUAGUCUAAUAAGUAGCAAAAUUACAGAAAACAGCCUCCCUACAAAUCGCGAAAUCCGGCAGAUCAAAGGAAGCCUUUGGACCAGGCUCCUAAAACUAGCAGCAGGUACAUAGCCACAAGUAACAAAUGAAUGUAUACAACAAUAUAUAACCAAAAUCUGGCCUCACAGUUUUCACUACGACUAAUUUGAAGAAGGAGAAGAAGAAGAUCAUCUGCUUCCCAAAAUUGAAUUAAAUUAUGAAAUACAACAAGUUUCCUCCUCCAUUAUUAGCCACGAAGAUACACAAUAGUUAUCCUACUUUGGCUUCACGAUCAACUCUGUUGUUAUUCCGCUUCUGCCGCAGAGAUUCAUCCUGAGAAACAGAGAACAAAACUACUUGUUUAUAAAGUUCACGAAUUAGGCUACUACAACAAUCACAUCGAGGAAUGAGAAACGAAACAAUGUGGAUUUGAAUGGCUUCUACCUUAAUACAGACGUAAAUAUAAUGAACAUCUGGGUUCGAACCGAGAAGUGCAGCCACAGAGGUUCCAUCUUCGUUUAGCCGCAAUGGUUUGGUUAGUUCCCAACUUUUCUGCUCCGGACUUCUGUCCAAUCUGUCUACAAUACCCCCAAAUAUAUUCAUCAGUUACAAUUCUAAUUAACAUAAGGAGACAGUACUAUGUCCAGUGUAAACAUUGAAAGAAGGAAAUAUUGCAUAUUAAAAUGGUGGUGAGAACCGCCUCUGAAGAGCUACAGCGGGAUGCUUCUCUGGUGGCAGUUCACACCACCAGUUCAUAGCAUGAACUUCGUACAAAGAAACAUCAUACAGAAACAUCUGGGAAGAUCAACACAACAACAAAAGCCCUGAUUUAAACCUUACAUUCACAAACAAAAAAAAAAAUAAGCACUUCAAAAAGUUAUUCGCCAUAAUUAAAUUACGAAACCAAGAAACUAGCUUCCCAAAAUUAUUGCAGGUAAAUUUCCAGCUAAAUGAUUCUGUUGAAUAAAUUCUGUUCAUAUCUUCGACUUUCCAAUUGACUGCCAUUUUAAUAACAGUGCCAUACUGAAAGGUCAUGGUAGAGGUAAGUCAAACUUCUUACAUUGAUUGAUUUGAUAUGGUCCAUAUCAUGAAGCUUCUCAUUUUCUAUGAUUUACCUAUUAUUCCUUGCAGCUUAUUAAAUAUCAUCCAAAUAGUAAUAUAAUUAUGUGAACAAUACAUCACUGUAACAUGUCUGCGACUGUAAUAUGUUUUAACAUUACUUUUGUUCAGAUGGAGUACCAUCUUAACACAUAAGAGAAAAUUUUGUCUACUCCAACUAAUCAAAGCAUAUUCAAUAGAGAAAACUACAACAUUGACAGCAGAAAUAGAAACAUGAAGCGGACAUGGAGCUUGAGUCAUUGAAAUGAAAUUUUUAAAAAAAGGAACUAGAAAAAUUACAAUGAGAAGCAAAUAUAUACAGAUAAUUGGCCUCACGAUUUUUCUCGGACAAAAGGCCACAGCACACGUAUCUAGAUACUGAUGCAGUAUAAAGAAGAUAAGGUAAAUAUCAAACCAAAAAAUUGGAUAUUCCAUAAGUAAUGAGAAUCCACAAAUUGAUCUAAAAGAAGUAAACAAGCACUAGAAGUGGUGUUGACUAACCUAUUACAUGCAUAUUUAUUGUCCACGUGUCCAAGUUCUUCAGUACACACAAUCGAUAACUUGGAUCUCCAUACGUAAUCUAUAUCACAAAAAUAAGUCAGAUAAGUUGGAGAGACAUGUUAUUGCCUAGUCUUGAAAGAAACACCAAAUAAUAAGGAACUACUUGAUAGAAGAGAAAAGCACCAGGAUGUAAACUCCUUUGUCCUUGAGAACUCUGUUAGAUGGUAGAGAAAAGUUGACAGAAGUAAGAUAAACUAAAAUCUAAAAGAGAACAAAUCACAGGGUCCAAACAAAACAUAAAACAACAACUAAGACUUCAAUCUCACGUAUGAUAAACAUCAGUUCUUGCAUGAUGAUUUAGUACCUGGCAACCUCCUCCAGCAUCUUAGUUGCAUUUUCAUGUGCAUUAUGCCCACACUAUAAGUUGACAGAAUGGAUUAAUUAGCAAUGUUCCAAAUAAAAAUGCAGAGUAUACUAGCCAAUUAUAACUCACCAUGAUGGAGUCGAGAGUUCCUGCAAACAAAACAUAAAUUAGGCCUAAGAAUCUUAUAUGAACAGGUUUCAAGAUCCAAGGAGGUGUUGUCAUAAACUGACAUAUACAUAACUAAGAAGAAAGACGUUACAAAAUUUUCCAAUAGGGAAAUAAACCAGAUAUCAUAAGCUAUUCAAUUGGUAGAAAAAGACGCUUGAGCACCUUUUAAAAACCCAUGAAUGCAGUAAGUACCUUUAUCAAUGACACCAUCAAACGAAUUAGAUUCAAAACCAGCCAUGUCUCGAACGUCCAUUUUAAGAUCUGCCAAAACAGUUUGGGAAAAGAAAUAGUAAGUACAAAAAUUUUCAUAGAGAAUACUCAGGGUGGUUGUAACAUUCACACCGAGAAAGCCCGGAGAGAGAGAGAGAGAGAGAGAGAGAGAGAGAGAGAGAGAGAGAGAGAUACACUUUAGGGCUGGCUUAUCUUUGUAUUUUUGUUGCAUGGCUUCAAUCACCACUGUAGAUAUAUCUAUGUUAAUGAUAUCUUGAUAUCCAUCAUCAACCAUGCUUUCCCCCAAAACUGUUUGAUUUCCAGAUCAAGCAAGCACAUUAUAUAAAAAGCAGGUUAUGCAUCCUAUGCAAUAGCACGUAAAGUUUGACAGUUGGAAGCAUUUUAACUUGAAACGGGAUAAUUUUGUAAAAGCAUAACUGCAAUGGAUCAUAUAUAACAUGUACUAUAUUGAAUGCAAUAAAAUUGUCACAACUCAUGCACCUCAACUCCGCAGGCAUGCGAAAGACAGUGUCAGUAGAUCAUCAGAAACCUUCACACUAGUUCUUGGUAACUGACAUCACAAUUAAUGAUGCAGACGUUCAACAACUAACUUGUUGGGACUUUGAUCCAAAACUCUAUUUUGGGACAGGUAAACAGUGGUGCAAAUCCAGUACAUACAUGAUUAGCAACAAAAUUAUUAAAAUAAAAUCUCUAUUUCAAAUUAGGAUUAUAACUUCCACUGGGUAGGAACAUCAAACUAUACAGCAUAUCUGCUAACUAGAGCUACUAAGCAUUCGCCCCAUAACCUCAACUAGAAAUGUGCUUGUUUCAGCGAUUCGACAACCACGACAUUGCCAUUUCAGCUACUCACUAAUUCUAUGUCCGGAACAUUUAUUACACCAUAGUUGCAAUUACAAACUAGAUUGACUAGCAUCCACGAAAUCACAUAAUCAGUUACAAUUAUUUUUGCAAGGAUAACUUGAUCUCCGAGUCUAAAUCCACACGCGCACACAUUAUCCAAGAGAUCACAUGCUAGUGCAGCAGCACAAAGAAAUCACAAAUUAAGCUACAAAUCGGGAUAAAUUCAUCUACAUACUAAGUAGAUCAGAUCAUAGGGUUUCUCAUCGUUUCUCAAUCUCCUUAAUCCGAUCUAAUUUCUCCCCGAACCCCACCCCCCCUUCACCCAAAACACGCACACACCGAGAUCCAAAUACACAUCCAAAUGCUCCAAAACCAAAGACGAAGAAGAAGAAGAAGAAGGAGAAGAAGAGGAAAGGGACCUGAGUUGCCGCAACCGACGAGGAGGAGGCGGUGGGAGCGGCGGAGGUAGAGGUCGAAGAGAGGGGAGAGGGGCGCAUACUUUUGGUACCAGUCGAAGGGGCCCCCGUCCUUGCGGUAGCGAUCGUCCCAGUAUGCGGUCUCCCCGUAUGAGUGCGUCCCUAAGCUCGACGACGACGACGACGACGACGACGAUCCCCCGAGCGUCAUUGCUCGCUCUCUCCGCCCCUUCGCCACAAAAAGGUCUAAAAUGUAACAAUUACACCACCUCAUCUAACUUACUAAAUAAUUAAAUUACUUUUACGGAGUUCAUCCACCCCAUCAUUAUUAAUCUCGAUAAAAAAAUAUUUUUUUUAUUAUAUUUUUUUCGAAAGGAGUUUUAGAAAUUGAUCCGGAGCAGCUGCAACACAAAAAUCACCUCCCUCCACUCCGCCGUUAUUCUACGGUUCCAGUUGCGCACGCAUCGGGAGGUGGAGUUUUAUUUCGUGGACCCGGUCCAUUGGACCGGGACGGAGAGCGUUUCGUUCUGAUUGGUCCCCGUUCGCGGAGAACUUCUGGUGGGCUGGGAGAGUGGGCCCGUUACAAUGUGAGUCCAUGUACGGCCCAUGAACCUUGUUUUCGAAAGGCCCGUGUGAAAGAUUUUUUUUUUUUCUUUUUUCCGUUAUAUGGACAAAAAUUAUUAAUUAAUACUUUUUUUUCACCAUAUUUUUAUAUUUAAAUAAAUAAAAUAAUUUUGAUUUUGUAUUCUGCAUUGUACCCAAAAAAAAAAAAAAGCUUAAUUAUUACUCUCCUCAGGCCCACAUAGAUUUUGGGCCGGAUUUAUCUAAAUGAGCUCUCACUGGUUUCUGGGCCUUAUCGGAAAAAGGGCGGGUCCAAUAAUCAACUUUCAUUACAUCCGCCGUUGGCUCAUCCUCAUCAACCUAUCUCGACCGUCCAUAUACUCCUACGAAUCCCUUCGCACCUUUAUUUAUUCACCUUGUUAGUAUUUACACACGCCACCUUUUUCGGCUUUUCCUCCUCGCUCCUUUGGUUUUUUUUUUUUUUUUAAAAAAGGAAAAAAAAGGAGAAAAAAAAUCCCACUGUGAAAGGGUUUUAGAGCUCUCUUCAAUCCAUCUUUUAUUUUAAUGGAGGAGAUUAAUGCGUUGGGUUUUCCCAAUGAGAACAAUAUUAGAGUGCCACAAAACCGGCUUCGGAGGUAAAUAAUUAAUUAAACCCUUUUUAAAAAAUUUGGCUUCUUACCAUUUAUAAAUAAAUAAAGUGUCUCUUCCCUUUGCUUCAGUUCACUGGUAAGCUUAAUUUGCUUACUUUAUUAUUGUGAAAUGUGUUGGGUUUUUAUUCCUAUUGGUACCCUUUGUAGCACUUUCUUUAUUUUGUGAUUUAAUAAUCUUUUGUCCCUGGAUUUUGUAUUAUUUUGCAUUUUAUUGUCGUUUUAUUUGAAUGGAUAUUUAUAGUACAUUUAUAUUUUACAUUCAACAACCGUAGAACUUUCGUUUUAUUACAAACCCUAAUAGUUGAGAUUUAGCCAUAUUCAACAUUUGUUUGACUAAACUCAUAUUAUUUCUUUUUGUGAAAACCAAAGUUCUACGGUUGUUGAAUGUAAAAUAUAAAUGUACCCUUAUGUAAUAACUUAAAUUUUUAAAUAACAAUAUAUAUUCAACAUUUGUUUGACUAAACUCAUAUUAUUUCUUUUUGUGAAAACCAAAGUUCUCCGGUUGUUGAAUGUAAAAUAUAAAUGUACCCUUAUGUAAUAACUUAAAUUUUUAAAUAACAAUAUUUAUUUUAUAUUAUUUUAUAUAGUAUCAGUAUACGAAGUUUUAAAUUCAAAUUCUAUUAAAAUUUCAAUUUUACACAAAAAAAAAAAACUUGAGGAAAAUUGUUGAAACUUUUUCAGUAGCUAGUAUCUGUCAACUAAAAUUCACAAUUUUUUUUAGCUGAAAAGCAGUUGGUAACCUGAAAUCGGAAUCAAAUGAAACCUCUAAUUUAAAAUACAAAUUAAAUAAAAGCUAAAAUGGUGUAAACACAAAUAUUUAGCCUUGGAGAAAAACAUUAUAGAGAGGGUCCUACACCUAUGCGGUGGCAUGUGGGGGCUAAACGUUGGUCAUGCCCUCUAAUACUUCUUUUCCAAAAAUUAAUUAAUUAGGUGUCUAUGUCAAAAUUGCAAUAUGCUGUUAAACCGAUUCCCUGAUGCUCUUUCAAACUUCUCAUGCUGCAGGAUGAUGAUCAAUGGCAACGAAAGACUAAACACGAAAGCUGCAUUCGCGUCCUUCAGCCGCGCGCUCGCCAACGCGCUCUUUGGCCUGUGGACGACGGACCUGGUGAAGCCCCGCGAGCUCCGCCGAGCGACUGCCACAGUGCUGAUCCUCGGGGUGGCUCUGUCGGCUGCAGGCACUGCAAUUUCGCUAUCCCUUCUUUUCAUUCGUGGUAGAAGAGGGCGGCUGAUGUGCCGGCAAUUUCGGUGGCUCAGCGGCUUCGCCACCAUGGUGUUGUAUGCCACGUUAGUCAUCCGUGGUUUCAUUUUGGUUCUUGCUGCGCUAUCUCUUCGUUAACUGAUUAUUAACCCCUGCAUACAUACAUGUUUGCUAGAAGUGGCCACUAUGGGAUUGAUGUUGCUUGUUGAGAAUUUCUUUUGUUUUUUGGGGUCAAAUAUUGCUGUUAGGAUGUUUCUCUUCAUGUUUUAAGGCUUAAGUUGCUACUUCUUGUGUAUGUACGUGCUUUGCUAGUUGUUAAAUUUGAAGUUUUUUUUUUAAUUUUUGGCCAAAAUCACUUCGAUCUUAUUUUCAUCUUCUCAAACCAGUGAUUAGAUCUAAAUUCUAUACUCUACAACGGCCAAACUAUGUACUAGAAUCUGAAUAGUAAAGUAUGGAGUAGAAAUGGACAUAUUUUGAAUAUUUUGAAUUUGAGUUCGAGUUGCGAAACGCCCGGAUAAAAGUAUAUGGGUGAAAGUAAAUUCCCAAAAUUCAAUUUAAUUCAAAAAAUAAUAAAAAAAUUAGGUAACACGGCUAAAUAUUAACGGUUAUGGUUAUAUUUGCAGCCAUAUAUGGAGUGGUUAAUGGGCCUAUUGGACCGGGCCAUGGUUUGGGCCUUUGGGCCCAUUUUACUCUCUGGGCUCGGUGGUGCGUGGUGGUUUCAUCGCCGAAUUCGGGAUGUAACCGGCAAAGCGGCUUUUAGAAUCGCCGACUUUAUUUUGUAACGAAAAUUUUUGCUGGUUCACCAAGCGCUAGCUCUGUUACUUUAAUCUUACCUUCUAAGCUUUGUGAGAAGAACAUCUAAAAGUAUGAACCCACCUCUCAAAAGCUUCAUUUGUUUACAUAGACAUUGAUAUAGGUUUGUGCACAUCGAUCAAAUUAGUGAAGCGGUAUGUGUCCAUUGUUUAGUCAUUAUUUGUUGUUUGCUUUGGAACUCUUUUAGGACUACUUUAUAAUUGAGCUGCUAUAUGCCUCAUUUUUCAUGUGUAAUUAAAGGUUUACUUACUAACCAUCAUUUGUGUUAACCACCUAACAACAAUCACUAAAGAAAAAAACUUUUGUUAGAUAUAUAUCGGAAAGUACAUUGUUCAGUAAAGUUUGGGGUUGCCGCAAAGCAAGAGACAAAAAAUGAUUACGUAUCUAAACUUACUAUACUAAACUUAGGAACUGCAUUUGGCUUAGAUAAAGAAAUAGGCACUAAAUAAUUAUAUUAGUCCAUCUUCUUUGAGGUGUUUUCGAUCUAAAACGUUCUCAGAUUAUCCUACCCAAAGUAAAUUAUAUGGAUCAUUUCAUCUCCCACUGUGCUGUGAGAUGCGCGUCACUAAACAUUCGAAAAGCUAUAGAGAAGCAUAAACCGCUUAUUUAUAACUUGAGAUUUUAUAUAGCAAGACGAGGGGGAGAGAAGCUAAAUGAAACAAAAGCUAUAUAUAAUAAUUAUCAGAAAUAUAGCUUUUGAAGGAAAUUUUCAAAAUGAGACCAUGCCUUGGGCAUGGCCCAACCUCCACAAGGGUUGAUUAACAGCAAAACCAUAUGUUAAAACUGCAUGAGACCAUCCCAAGAUUCUCUUUUGAGCUUUUUUUUUUUUUUACCCCCAAAAAAAAACUGUAUACUCUUUAAUUUGCAAGAGAUAACCCUUGCAUGUAUUAGAAUUAAUCAUUUCCGUGGAGAUUUUAAUGACAUUUUUUUAAGUUAUAGUACAAAAGUUAACAAAAUCUAGACACACUGUAUGAAAUACUUAAAUGGGAGGGGUUUAUUACUCACUACUCUUUGGUACAUUGUUCCAUGACUUGGCUAGUCUCGUAUCUACUAAUUAGAGAGUCUAGCUAUGGUAAAGUUCUUUGUACUACAAAGUAUAAGUAUAUGGUAAAAACCUAAGGUAAAAGGUAAAAAUUAUCCUGAUUGUAAUAUAAAAUAAUUUUCUUAAGGUUCUUGGCAAGUAAACUUCCUCCCUUUAGCUAGGCUUUGAGACACUAGAGAUACAUUUAUUAAUUAUGUAUAAACUGAUACCUUAUCUCUUAGCAUAUUAGUAUCUAUCUUUUGCUAUUUGCAACUUAAUGCAUUCUUUAUCAAUUAAUCUGGUUAAUUUACUCAAAACUUGAAAAGGUUUUAACAUGCAUACAGCUCAAUUAUAUAAAAGAUGCAACCCCAUUAGUAAUCAUUUCACCAAUUUCACAAAAUAUUCCCUGCUACAACCAAAGUCCAUUUGCUUUAUUUAAUUUCUUCUUGUAAUCAUUAAAGAAGUACAAAACAUAUUUUGAUGGAAUAUUGUCUAAAAGGCUCACAUAUAUAGGGGAUUACUUAACUUUACCCUACACCUACUAGAAGAAUACAUUUUCAAAAGGCCUCUAUAUGGGCUGUCCUUUUAAAAAUAGGCAUAGACCAUGAAAACCAUUUUGUAGCAUGCAAUGCAUGAAAUAUUGUUUGAGAUUCGCAUAGAGUGCUAUCCAACAGUUGGACAGGUACACUAUCCUACAAUAUAACAUAUCUUGUUAACUGUUCAUGGUUAAGUGUUAAUUAUUUACCCAAACUUAAUCACUGAAUAAGCUCAAAUUCUGAUAUUUUUCAGAUAAAUAAUA